Molecule: long non-coding RNA, 49377 nt
Filed under: Ananas comosus (pineapple)
Lineage: Eukaryota; Viridiplantae; Streptophyta; Magnoliopsida; Poales; Bromeliaceae
Description: long non-coding RNA (ACOM_LNC002654)
Source: RNAcentral
ACGAGCGUUUUUUCAAUAAAAAUAAGGUUGUUUUAUGUGAUUUUGUUUUAGCUUUGGUUCGGAGUUAAGAAAAAAUUAGUUAUUUUAGGAAUAAGGUUAAGUUUAGGAUUAAGAUGGGGUUAGAAUAUUUUUAUGUUUGGUUGGGAAUUGGAGUUAGUCUAGGAUAGUGAAAAAUAGUAUUUGGUUGGAAUAGGUGGGAUAAGAAGGAUAGUGAGUUAUUAUGAAUAGAAAAUAAUAUUUGGUUGAGAUUUGAUAGGAUUAGUUGGGGUUAGCUAACCCGGAAUAACUCAUUUCAGGUGGGUUAGCUAAUCUCAUCCAUUUUUAGAAGUGUUUGGAAAUAAAAUGGGAGUUAAGGGGUUAUUCCACCCCUUAACUCCCAACCAAACGGAUUAAAGAAUUGAAAAACAAACAAACCAAAAUUUUUAUAAUUUAAAACAAUACGAUUCAUAAUUUUUUUAAAAAUAUAUUAUGUAUCAGUCUCAAAUAAUAAUCAAAUAAUUACGUCGACCAUCAUUAUUUUUAGAUUAAAGAUGUUUAACAUAAAAAUAAUCAUAAUUAUAUCUUUUUUUAUUAUUUAAAAAAUUAAAUAAAUAAAAAUAUUUUUUUUUAAAACCAAAUAUUCCAGAUUGAAUCAACCGAAUUAUAUUAUGGCUUGAUUUCAAUUUUAUAUUCUUUUAUUGCAAAAAAACAAAACUGAUCCAACUAAUGCUCGCUCCAAAUAGAGAAUCAAACUUUUUUAUUCCAUUAAAUUCUCUAGAAACCAUCUAGGCCAUGGACUGUAUUUAUUAUUAUUUUUUUUUGGCAACAACUAUUUCAUUCAAAUUUGAACAAUUAAAAAUAAAAUUUUCAUCUUUUUUUUAAGGGUUAAAUGCAUAUAUAUAAGUCCUUGCAAACAUAAUAAAUUAUAAAUAUAUCCCUAUAAAGUUUCAUAUUUAUAUUUUACUUCUACAAAAGUUCUAUUAUUUUCAAAUAUAUCCUUCUGAUUUAUUAUCGUUAUAGAAUUAUUUAUAUUUUAAGUAAAAUGCUAAUUUUGCUAUCACAAAUAUGUUCAUUCAAAAGCCACAACAGUAUAAUAUAAAAAAAAUAAAAAUAUCAAGUUAUUUUAUAAACUAAUCAGAGUUAAGUGUUUAAUCUAUUGUUAACUAAAGUUUUCUAACGACAAAAAUAUAUUGGAAAAAUUUUAGAAUUUUUACGGAAAUAAUAGUACCUUGGAAAAAUCACUGCAUGGCUUAUAUUUUACCUAUAUAAAAAUACUUAUUAAUGUGAGCAUCUGAGUAGGAUGACAAAUCAGAAUAUGCUCUCACCCUCGAUUUUCAUGAUCUUUCCAGUUACAACUUACAACUACAAAGAGAUUAAUAAUAAUGUAAAAAGGAUAAAAGUACAUAAAAACCCUCAUUAGAAUGUUAGGUAAAAUGGAAUGAUAUCUAUUUUCUAAUAAUAUAUUAAAAAAAAAGGUAAUCUUCAAAUAACACUCCAGUGGUUUCGUAUUUUCUCACUUUAGUAUUCUAUGGUUUAAAGUAUAUCGAGUUAGUGUUCUGUGGUUUCAUUUUUAUCUUUUCGUUAGUUUUUCCGUUAAUUUUCUGUUAAUAUUUCGUUAAAUUAUAUAUAAAAAAACUUCAAAUACUUCAUCUAAAUUUAUCAAAUAUUCACUUUCGUAUCUUUUAGUUUUAACUUUGUCACUGAUUUAACGAAAAAAAUAGUAAAAUUAAUAAUAAAAAGAUAAAAAUGAUACACUUUAAACCACAUGAUAGUAAAAUAAAAAAUUGUUAAACCACAUAGGGGUGGUAUUUGAAGGUUUUUCUAAAAAAAAAUUGAUUGUUUGUACUAACAACUACUUUUUUAAUUAUAUUAUUUCAAAUGAAUUUAAGCUAUGCUAAAAUUAAAUUUUAGAUAGAGCUUUCGCUUUAUGAAGUCUUAAAACUCGUUUCAGCUUGUCCAUGAAGCGCAAAUUUUUUUAUUAAUCAAAUGGGUGUUAAUUUAUUUAGAAUAAAGAAGCUAUUUUAGAUGUCUGAUAAUAUUAGCUUAGGCUAGAAUACUCUCAGUUUUUUUUUUUUUUUUUUGAGAAAGAGCUUCAUUCAUUAAACGUGAUGAACUAAGCAUACAUGGUGGAAACAGCUAGGACCUCUUAGAAAAGCCGAAAAAACCAAAGAAACCAAAACAAAAGGCCAAAAAUAAACAUGUAAAAGAAAAACAAAAGGAUGUAGCUAGGGCAGGAGUUUAUCAUGAAUCACAUAACGUCAGUCUAGUCCUUCGACAAAGACUUGACGCGAACAGUGGUCCGGCUUGCGUUGGGAGGUAUCUCACGAAAGAUAGUGUUGUUGUGCUCGGUCCAUACGACCCACCAGAUCACCGCCAAUUGUGUUAAACUCUUCGCUCUCGACACCGCAUUGGGGUUACAAGAUAUCUCUUUCCAUAGACGCCGAAUAUCCCCCGAGCCGAAUAUCAACCGAGUCCACUUCGCUCGCCUCUGUGCCUCCCUCACACAAUAUAAGGUAUCUGACAAAGACACAGUCACGGAAAAGGUGAUUGCAGUUUUCUAGAAACACCGCGCAAAAAAUACACUAUUGGUCCACAGGGCACCCUCAACUGGUCAGUCUAUCCGCUGUAAGUAAUCUCUUGCGAAGUAGAAUCCAGAUGAAAAUUUUAAUUUUGACCGAAAUUUUUAACCUCCAAAGAUGAUCGUACAUGGGGUCUCUGUAACCUGCGUCGGUGAUGAAGUCAUAAAGCGAUUUAAUCGUAAAACAUUAGUUAAAGUGUGAUUUGUGUGACAUAGAGUUCUAUGAGGAAAUAUUUUAUUUAUUUUCUCUUGGUUCAACUUAAAUAUUAUUUAUUUAUUUUUAAUGUAAAUUUUUUUUUUAAAUGAUAUCUCUAUAUUCUUAGGUCACAAUUCUUUUGGAUCUAUUAUUAGCGUUAGGGAGAUUCAAAACCAAAUGGAUCUUAAAAGAAUGUUGGGAUCUUCAACUUCAAAUUGCUUUAGCCCAGCAACAUUUGGCUGCUUCUUAUACCAAAUAGAUUACAAAAAAGGGACAAAAAAUUCAAAAUAAAUUAAAUUUGAAUAAAAAAUAAAAUGAGAUACUAAUGACUUAUUUGGAUGCCAAAAUCAAAUAUCCACAGAUAUUCUUCUUUGAGAUUACAAGUUUAAAAGUUUGAUUUUUUUACUUUUUAGCAACUCGUAUCAUUUAUAAUUAGUUAAAUAAUUAAUUUUUUUAUUUAUAAGACAAUUUUAUUUUAGUUUUAUGGUAUCCAUUUUGAAUGGUAUAUAUAUAUAUUUAUGCACAUUAUUAUUUUCUUGGGUAAACUUCAAAUACCAUCCUUGUUGUUUCGUAUUCUCCACUUUAAAGUGCUUCAAAUUAGUAUCAUGUGGUUUCAUUUUUAUCUUUUCGUCAAUUUUUUCGUUAAUAUUUUGUUAAAUUAUAUAUAAAAAACUUCAGAUAUCCCAUCUAGAUUUAUCGAAUAUUCAUUUUAGUACCUUUUAGUUUUAAUUUUGUCAUUAAUUUAAUAAAAAUAAUUAGUGAAAUCGAUAAGAAAAAUAUAAAAAUAAAACCAUAUAGCACUAAUGGGUGCGUUUGAUUCGAGUUAUCCUGGCAGGAUUACAGGCAAUCCUGCCAGGAUAACUAUGUUUGGUUAAUCCGCUAUGUAAUCUAGUCGUUAAUGUAGGAUUACAUAUCGAGCAGGAUUACAUCGAAAAUAUUAACGGGAGGGAGGUCGUGUAUCUUGCAUUACUGAAACCCGUUAAUACUACAUAUUAUGUAAAAUGACAAUUUUACCCUCCAACAACCCCAAAUCUAAUUAACAGUAUUAUUUUCAUCUCUAUCUCGCCUUCCCCCCAGCCCUCUCUCUCGCACGCCGCUUUCUCUCGCUCUCUCUCUCUCGACGUCUCUCUCUCUCUCUCUCUCUCUCGCACGAACACCUAUCAUCUUCUAUUGCGUCGUCCUCCCAAGUAAUCAUCACGAUCUCCUUUCCUCCAUUCGUUAUUUCCGCAAAAAAUAAUAUUCAAAUGACCACAACAAGGGCAAUUUUGGAAAAAACUAUACUUUUAUGUCAGGAUUACUAAAUUUUAUAAACUGAACCAAACGCUCUAAUGCAGCAUUAGUAGUAAUCUCACGCCGAAAUCCAAAAUACCUGGAUAUGUCGAGAUACUUUGUAAUAUUACAUAACUCGAACCAAACGGGCCCUAAAUUGGUCUACUUUAAACUAUAAGGUAAUAAAGUGAGAAAAUAUAAAAUCACAAAAAUGAUAUUUGAAAUUUUUUCCAUCAAAAAAUUUUCUUCUAAUGCAUCGAAAUAAAAGCCAAAUAAAACAAAAAUAAAAAAGAAGAAGAAAAAACAGAAGAGGGGCAAAUGAGUAAUUUCACACACAAGAGCAGCGGUGGCUGGGCUUUUCCCCUUCCCCUCCUCCCCCCCGUUUGUGGCUCUUAUUCGAUUCCGCCUCUUCUCAGGAGCUCUCUCUCUCUCUCUCUCUCUCUCUCUCUCUCUUCGCCAUAGAAGAGGAGGAAGAAGAAGGAACCACAGGGAAGAAGAGGAUUAUCACCGAAUCCAUCACCACCGCCACCAUUAAUGGCGUCGAGGAUCGCAUUCAAGCCCCUGGGCUCCCUCUGCUUCGCGCCGCCGCGUACCAACAGGAGCGCCGCCGCCGCCGCCACCUUCGGAUCCCCCAGAGCCUCCAUGGCCUCCACCAAGUAAUUAGAUCCCUCUCCCCCUCCCCUACCCCAUCUCUUACUUCGCACCCCGACGCACGCAUUGGUAUUUGGUUUCGUUUCGUUUCGUUUCUCGAUCUAAGUUGUUUGGGCUCUUUUUGGUACAAAUUUUGUUGGGUUUCGUCGAUUUGGUGUUUUUUUGGGUUAAUAUUGUUUGAAUUUGUUGAUUUGGGUUUCUUUUUUUGGGAGUGGGGGAGGUGGGCAAGGAUUCGGCACGCACCAUAUCCAUCAUAUGUGUCGUAUCGUAUCAGUAAGAUAUCGACAUGAUAUCUCCGUAUCUAUGAUGCAACUGAAAAUUUUUUUUUAAUUAGUAAGUAAUUUGUUAAUAAAGUUUAAAAAAUUUGAUAAAAAUAUUUAUUAUUGGUAUAAUUUGUUUUUUUAUAAAAUAAAUAUUUUAUGCCANCUGGCAUUGGCAUGGUCGGCAAGUUUUUGGCACGACUCCGUGCUAUGGUUAUUAAAUCCUUGGGGUGGGAAAUGUACUGAGAAAAUUAAGCAAUUUAGUUAACACCUCUUCCAUUUGUAUUUUUUUUAUUCAAAUUGUUUUAGGUAGAUAAAUUUAAUGCAAAAUGUAAUUUUAUUUACUGAAAACGGUUAAAGUUGUUAAAUUUAAUAAAUUACUAAAUUACUUUCAAAAUUUAGUAAAAUGUUCAAUUUUAGAUGAGUAGAAUUAUCUAAAUAAAGUGUUAAAUAUAUUACUUAUAUUUUCGGUACGUUUUUUCGAACUCUACUUUUUUUUAAGUGUUUAAUCUUGAUUUGGUUAACACUGUUUCGAUGGAUUAAUUAGUUGUUUUUUCCUAAAAAAAAAAUUAUUGUUCUUAUUGAGGAAUUGUCAAAGUUGUGGGUCAAAUUGGUUUCUCCUUUUCAAUUCAAUUCGUGCGGCUAAUUAAUUGCAUGCGUGUCCAUUUCAUCUCAAUUACGCGUAUGCUUAUCACUUGAGUGCUUCCACCUGUUUGUUGUGAUGUGUGAAAAAAACAUAGGUUUUUAGGGUUUUGACCUGCUCUUUAUAUGUAAUAAUGUAAUAUAAAGUAAUUAUUUGCUACUAACUUGUGCGUUUUUUGUCGGGUGGUGGACUCUUACCUUCCAUGUCGGUUUAGAUUAUUUUGCAUUUAGGGUGCGUUUGGUUCGCGUUAUCUUUUUAAGAUUCCUAGUAAUCUAAUAGGAAUAACAAAAUAUGACGGUGUUUGGCUAAACGCACUAAGUAAUCUAGUUGGUAAUAUUAGAUUUACUUGGGAAUAAGAUUCAUCCCAAAGUACUAAUCUCAUUCCCUUGAGGAAGGAUAGGUAUCCUCAUAUUAAUAGAUUGGAGUAAUCAUGAUGUGUCUAAUCUCUUUCUUUCUUUCUAUCCGCCGGCUAGUUGGUAUUAUUUUUCUUUACACUCUAACUUCAUAUCUCUCUCUAAGCUUAUCUUUUUUUCUCUAAGCUUAUCUUUUUUUCUCUAAACUUCAACUCUUUUUCUCUCUCUAAACUAAGCUCUCUCUCCCUCUUUUUUCCUCAAAUCUCAAUUCUCUCCCCCUUUUUUCCUCAAAUCUCAAUUCUCUCACUCCCUCUAAUCUCGACUCUAUUUCUCUUCCUAUUUUUUUAAUUAUGCUUUCUCUCUCUAACCUAUGUUCUCUCUCUNNNNNNNNNNNNNNNNNNNNNNNNNNNNNNNNNNNNNNNNNNNNNNNNNNNNNNNNNNNNNNNNNNNNNNNNNNNNNNNNNNNNNNNNNNNNNNNNNNNNGGUGACGUGCUUGGUCCACGUUGAUACGAAUGUGUUAGUCAAAAUUAACGUGUAGUGUGGGGCACUUGACUUAACUACUUUAAUUAAUAGGAAAAACUUUAUAAAUAUCAUUCGUAUAGUUUCGUACUUUUUUAUUUUAAUACUGUAUAAUUUAAAAUAUAUUAUUUUUAUAUUUUAUAUUUUUUUUUCUUUUUAUUAUUCUAUCUAUUAUUUUUUUUAUUAAAUCAGUGACAAAGUAAAAAUUAAUGAAUACUAAAGUGAAUAUUCGAUAAACUAUAGAUAAGAUAUUUGAAGUUUACCCCAAUUAAUAUAAUAUAUAAUAAUAAUAAAGAUAAUAAUUAUCUUCCGUGUAGAAAUAUUUUUUAGGUCUACUUCGGUUGACGGAGAAUCCAAAUUGUAUCUUAGAUGAGUCUAAAAAUGACUCAUUCUCUCACAUAAAUUAUGGUGUGGAGUCAAUUCCUUGAUUUAUGGUUUCCUCCCACAUAUAUUUUCAUAUACCAAUAAUAUAAAAAUCCAAUCAAACUAACUGUUUCAACUAGUCAAAUCAUGAUCAUGUCUAUAAAAUGAUUUAGUUUAAUCUUUUGAACCAAAUUAGUCAAAAACCGCUUCCAGAUAUUCGGACAAGUGGUUCAACCAUCGAACGUCUUUACUCAAAUUGACCAAAGUUUUUGUCAAGUCAUAUCAAAAUUUAAUGACUUUAACCAACUUAGCUUUCUAUCAGUGUAGAUUAAUCUUACAAAAAAUAAAACUUGAAAACUUAUAUCUACUUAAUUUAAUUUAGAAACCAAUAUUUGUUAAUUAACUAUGAUGCUAAAAUAAUAUUAUAUAUAUAUAUAUAUGUAUAUAUUUAUAAUAAAAUAAAAAAUAAUAGUUAAAUUUUAUUACAUUAUGUCGGUGUUCAAUAUUUAAUCUUUUUUUUUUCCUUUUUGAGAAAGGUAGCAUACUAUCUGCUUCGUUUAUUUCGUUUAGAAAUAAACUUAACUGAAAAUGUGAAUCAAUUAGAAUUCGAACUUAAAACCUCGGAUACCAACUACCAAAUUCUUUGUCACUUACGUUAGAGACAGUCAGUCUGAUUUUUUAAAUAUUAAUAUGAGAGAGAGGGAGAGAAAGAGAAUGACAUGUAGUUGAUUCAUCACUUGGAAUGUUGGAUGAUCCACGCAUGCAUGCACGUUUUCGCUGUUAUUUUUUAAAAAAUAAACUUAACUGAAAAUGUUUGGAACUUCUGAUAACAAUCACCAAAUUAUUUGUCACUUACGCUACGAUGGAUUCGAAUUUAACAAUCUUCCUUUUUUAGGUUGUGCCUAUGAAAGUAAGCUUCAAAGAAAGUUAGCUACAACUAGCUAGGUUUACACAUACUGCAAUUGAAGUGGAAGUUGAUGUAAUUGAGAUCUCUCGCUAGUGAUAAGAUUAAAGGGGGAAUGCUCCAGGUUGGGUGGAGAUGGUGUUAGAUGCCAUGGACUUAUCAUCGGCCCCACAUUUCGAAUCCAACGGCUCGCGGACCCCUGACCUAUCUCCUGGACCACAACAUACACACACGCGCACGCCAUUAGUUCAUUGUCAUGUCAUUUUAUCAAGCACAAGAAAAUUUAUAUAGAUCGCAAAGGUCGUAUCUGGGUGCAGAAGUUAAAGACCGGUACUCAGUGCGAAAAACAUCACCUGAGAAAAGUAUCACCAUUAGUCUCUGAACUUAUUACUCGAGAGUUUUACUUGGUUUCUCGAACAUUUGAAGUGUCGCAAACAUUUGGAAGUGUCCGAUUUGUGCAUUACUAACUAUUGCAGUACUCUAUGUACUUAUACAUCUGCACAUCAUAUUGACACAUUGCAGUACUCUACGUACUUAGGCAAUAUUAACUAUUGUAGUACUCUACGUACUAAUAUAUAUGCGUAUCAUAUUGGCUCACAUACAUAUGUACGAUCGCAAGAUAAAUAACAAUUUGCUAUAUAUUUUGUAUGCAAUGAUACCAAAUUAUUAUACAUCGAUCGCACGUAUAAUAAAUCGGCUUUAAUUCUCACUCUAGGUACCAAAUGAAGGAGUGGAGUGGGGCUUGCCUACAUUAAACAAGGUUGGUGUGUGAGAUUUGAGAGGGUUGUUGGAAAUGUUAAUUUUCACCUUAAUCCAUGUANCAUAUAUAGAAUUGUUUUACCUUGAUAAAUAUUUUGAAGAAACUAGUGCUCCUUAAUUUCCUUGUCAAUUUAAUUAUAGCUCCAUCAAUUUAUUGUCUAAAUCUCUAGUUAAAUAACACAGAAAAGGCUCGGUUAUUUGGAUCAGUAUUCGGUAAUUCAAGCUAAUUAAGAUAUAUAUUUUGGUUAUCCUUUGACGAAUAAUAAACAAAAAAAAAUGUGAUAAGCUAUUGAUUCCAUGUUAAUUUUGAAAAUUUUAAAAUCCAAACCCAAUAAUUUUGGUCGAAUUCGGAUCAGUUUUGUGUGUUAGCAAGUCCAAUGAUAUUCCACCAAGAACGCAAAAGAACCACUUAAUUUAAAAAUAGACACACAAAAGCAUUUUAUUUGUGGGGUCUCAUUAAUGGGUCAUAGUAUUUAUUCUAAAUUUUUGUAAUCUCUCUCUCUCUCUCUCUCUCUCUCUCUCUCUCUCAUGUGAGAAACAAGCAUCCAAAAGCUUAUUUUAUUUUCUUGAUAUGGAUAAUUCUCCAUGCACCCAAAUAAAAAAUAAAAAGUGUUGGGGUUUAUGUGCAACAUGUUCCCAAGUGUUUGUUUCCAUUGGCUUUUCCUUUGUCCAACCACUAUACCUAAAAUAUUAAGAUAUGGAACAUAGACCAAUUAUAUUACAAGGAAUCUGAGUACCUUGUAAAAGAGGGGUUAUAUAUAUAUAUGGAGAAUUGGAGAUACUUUAAAUAUAAUUUUUUAAUAAACACCAUUUUAAGUUUAUUUUAAUUUUCUUUUAUUAAAGUUACUGUAUUAGCCAUCAAUUAUCAAUUAUAAUUAAUAAAUUCAUAGGUUUAUCAGCUGAAAUUUUAAAUUAAUAAAAUUUCUAAUUUAAUUGAUAAAAUAGCUUAAAUGAAAAAAAAAAUGAAAAUGGUGAGAAUCAAAAAGAAAAAUUAAUUAAAAGGUCUACAUGUACUUCAAAAUAGCCUAGGAGGGGUUUCCUCACUUUGUACAUGUUUACCAAAAGUUGAUCAUCAUAAAAUUACUAUUUUCAACUUGCUACCCCAAUUAUUCCAAAUAUCCCCACCAAAAAUAGGGGUGAGCAAAUUAAUGAGCCAACCAAUUUGUAACAGACAUCACUAGAGUCCUUAUCUACUUUUUUUUUUUUUUUGGGCCACUAGAUGCUCAUUUCAUUUUUCCCAAAAUGCCCUUUUAAGUUUUAAACAACUUUGGUUAUUAUUUAUACUAUUAGGGGACAUUUUGUUGCAUGCAAUUGCAACUGCUCUGCAGCUGUAAAUAUAUAUAAAUACAAAUUUGAUAUUUGGGGCCAUUUUGUUGUAUGCAAUUGCAACUGCCCUGCAGCUGUAAGUAUAUAUAAAUACAAAUUUAAUAUUUGAUUUGAUAUAUUUAACUUCAACUAUUGAAGUAAGAAUUGCAGGAGGAAGUUCAACUGUAGUAGUUGGAACUACGCUCAAAUUGACCAUAAUUUCAAGUGCAGCAGUUGGAGAGAGUAACUUUAAACAAAAGAUAAGAUUACCUUCCUAAUUAUUGUUUAAAGAAAAUAUAUGUAUAUAUUUUUACAUUGGAGAUAAUCUCACCGUCAUAUAUAUAAAAUGAUAAAAUUUUAAAAAUUAUUUCUCACUUAUAUGCAACCAAAUAAAUUAUUUAUAGUUACAGCGAUUUCUACUACAUCGAACCAAACAUGAUGCAUAUAGUUACAAUUACUGCAUUUUCAACUGUAUACAUUUUCAACGACACUGUAUUUAUAAUUAUAUCUAAUCAAACGGUCCCUUAAUAAAACUAAUUGCUAAAUUUGAUGAAUCAAAGGAAAAGAAGAAGCAUCAGAAAGCUCUGCACUGAGUAAGGCUGAUCGAAUGAUUACAAAUUCUAGAGUAAAUCUAAAGUAUAAUCUGGCGAGUUAGACUCAUUCCUCUUAUGAAAUAUGGGGUUAUGGAAAUAUGCGGUGCCGGUCUGGUCGGGUCGGGUCGGGUCGGGUCGGGUUAACCUGAUGGUUCAACCUCAGGGGCAAAACAAACCGAGAAGGAGCAGGGGUAUUUUGGUAAUUUCACAGGAACCCACUUUCCCAGUUUCCCCCGUUUCGAGUCUGAAUGUGGUGGGACAGCAGUGGAGAGAGAUGCCCCGUCAUGCGCGAAAUCAUUUCCGUGCACCCGGUUCAUGAAUACACCCCGUAAACCACACUCCAACGAACUCUUUCACCAACGAACGGUAGAGAUGGUUUCCUGGAAUGAGAUGGAGGGCCGGGAGAGCUGCGGCGUACAGACCGAGUCGUGAACAGGGUCCAGGAAUAUUUUUAUUCCCCAAGCAGUAACCUUGGACUGGGCCCCACUCUUUCGCAUAUCUUCCACUGCUUGGACUUUUCCUCUUCAGCUUCUUCUUUCAUUUUUUUUAAUAAUUAUUUUUUAAAAAAAUCUUUUUUUUUCUCACCGAGCACACUUGGACUCUUCUCACGGCCCUUUUCUCUCUCUAAAUUUUGCUUGCUCCUGGUGCACAGUGAGCCACACUCUUAAACACCUUUACAAAGCGUAAACUGAUUGGCCCGGAAAAUAUUUUUAAUAAUUAUAUAUUCAACAUUAUCAAUAUAAUUAUAUUUUUCCAUAGUAAAAUCAUAUUAUAACCGACUUAUUUUGACAUAAUAUAUAUAAAAUUAUUUGUACUCUUUUAUUGUAAGCUGUAUAAUUAUUAUAUGCUAUCCUGAUCACAUCAUAAUCGACAUAUUUUGAUAUAAUAAUAAUAAUUUGUACUUUUUUAUUUUUUAUUUUUUAUUAUUCACUGUAUAAUUAUUAUUAUAUUAUUAUAUAUUACAAUAUAUACUAUCGCGGGUUAGAGUAUUUAGAUUAGAUUAGAUUAGAUUAGAUGCACUAUAUAUACUGAGAUACACCUGAUACAUCCAAUUAUUCCUUUCUCUCUCUCUCUCUCUCUCUCUAACCAAUGCAAAGAACCAAAAUCUCUCUCUUAUUGACCAAGGAAAUAAAUAAAUAGGAAACGGAAAGGGAACGCCCCUGUUCCCCUUCUCGCUCUCUCCUUUUAUAAAAACCUCCUCUUUUCACUCUCAAAACCCCUCCUUUUUCGCUUCAAUUUGUGUUUCCUCUUUUCAUUUUGCACAUAUUUCAGAUACUGGAACUUAUUUGGUUCCCCGAGCUUAACUGGUUAUGGUGCGUUACUGCGUUAUAUGUCGUUGUUGCUUUGUUCCGUUCACAACCAAGUUACUUUUUUUUUUCCCCUUUUUUUUUUGAUGGGUUUUAUGUUGGAGAUCCUUGGUUGAGUGUUUCCUGAUAUGGUUACUCCUCAAAAUUGGAUUUCUUUUUUUUUUUGAUUUUUUGGUGAUGGGGGAUUAACUUUCCUUUUCUGGGUCGUCUCUGUUUUUGCAGUUUUUGAUCGGAAGUUCAUGGAAGAUGAAGAAUUGGAUCUGCGUAAGUUGUUUUAUUGGGUGUUUUUAGCGUAAAGUUUGCUGCUUUUUGAAGAAAAAUUUGGAAUUGUGAGGAUUUGAUGAUUGCUUUGUGGCUACUCUUGUGAAUAGAUAUUGAAAUCUGAAAAGCUUGGUAGUUGUACCUCUCUCAUUUGUUAUGAUAGCGAAGUUGUUUGGGGUUUGUGAUUCGUAAAUACCCUGAAAAAUUGGUAACAAACUGGUUACAGGGGUUUUUCUUACUAGCUUUUUAGUUUAUUGUAUGAAAUUGUAUUGAGAACAAUUUUGAUAACAAGUUGCUUUUGUGUUUGUGAUUUAGAAAUGUCCUGAAAAAUUGGUAACAAAUUGUUUAGAUAGUUUUUUUCUUUUUUUCUAACAAGUAGGAAAUGAAUUUGCCCUGUUUAGUUUAUAAUAUGAAACUACACUGAGAUGGGAAAAAUUUUGGAGUGGGUGAUUUCGAAUUGCGACGAAAAUUUGAUUAAAUUCAAAUGCUUUGACUACCAUCGGUGAGAGAAUUUGCUCGAUUUCAUGGCCAUGUAUUGCUUAUUUUACUUCAAUUUUACAAGAAACUGUUGAUAUGUAUUGCUCGAUUUUUCCAAGGUUAAUUGUUAAUAUUCGAUAAGUAUGAACUUAUGGACAUGCACGUAUACGUUUUGGUUUGAUUUUCUCGAAAUAUUAUUGGUAUAGCUUAUUUCUCCCCUUUAUGUGCUCAAAUUUUGUUGCUAAUAUUUAUUUCGCUAUCGUUUUCUCCAGGUUCCUUUACUAACUGAUCCGUCACAUAGGAGAAUAUGCAUCUGCAGUAGCUUACCGGCGGCUGUUCUCCUUUGUGUUAUUUUCUUUGUGGGGAGUGCUUUGGUCACAUUCAAUUCCAAAGAGGUAAAUUUCACGAUAAUUAUGCACUAAAUGCAUUUUAUUAGUAUGCUUUGUAGUUCUCAACUGCGAAUGAAUUGCUAAUUUUGCAUUAUUUCUUGUUUCACUUUUCAGAAAGCACCAACAUGGCAAGCAGCUAAUUAUGUUGAAACCGCUAAAUCUCCUUUGCCGAUCACUCCGUCCGAGUUAUGCAAGGUUGUUUCAUGUAAACAUUUUAUUUUUUAUUUUUGGAUUAGUGUUUCGCUUUGAACUUCACAUGUUUUAUUCUAACGUCUAAUAUCGACACUCCUAUUUGGACUUUUUUGUUGUUUAUAGAAUCAAAACAAGCCUUUAGGGAGUGAACUAUUGCCAAGAGGCAUUAUCAGCGAGACGUCGAACUUGGAAAUGGACACCUUAGGGGGCUCUCCAGAGAAAAAGGUCCGUUAAAAAUGUUUCUUAUGAUAUACUCAUGAAUUUUAGUGUUUGUUCAAAUAUCAGUAAAUUUUUAGCACCUUGACUUUUAACCAAGAAUUUAGCUAAUUCUUCAGAUUAUCCUAGUCUUAGAUACAAUAAGCUAAUAUUGAAUCGAAAUAUUUCAGAAAAAUCCGUAAACAAUAAAGUCGUAAUAAUCUUAUAUGUCAACCGAUGCAUUUCAACUUAGCUUGUUAGUAACUUCUUCUUAUGAAUGUUCUCUAAUGAGAUUAAAUGAAACAGGGACAUGAGAAACCGUCAAAAAGCUUGUUAGCAAUUCCUGCUGGAAUAAAGCAAAAGGAAGUUGUGGAUAAAAUUGUUUCGAAGGUAAUUGUUAAUUUAUUAUUUCAUGUUCAUUUUUUUUUCUUAAUGUAUUGUGGAUAAUAAUAACUAUCUGAUUUCUUUGCUUUUUUCUUUUUUUUUUAAAUGCAGUUCCCUUCCGCUGAGUUUAUUGUGAUGCUGUUUCACUAUGACGGCGUCGUGGAUAAGUGGGGAGACUUACAGUGGAGUGAUCGCAUUAUACAUAUAUCUGUCAUUAAUCAAACAAAAUGGUACUUUGUUGGAUGGUCGCGGCAAAUCUACUAUUUCCAAUUUGUAUAUAUCUCUUGUGAGUAAAUAUUUAUCGUUUUUGAAGGUGGUUUGCUAAGAGGUUUCUACAUCCAGACAUAGUUGCGGAGUAUAACUAUAUAUUUCUCUGGGACGAGGAUCUUGAUGUGAAAAACUUUAAUCCUUCGAGGUAAAUGUUGCAUCCUUUUUUUUAAAUUUGGUAGUUAAACCUGUUGAAGAAGAGCUUUGAUUGGCUUAGUCAUAUAUCUCGGUCAUUAUUUUUGAUCAAGUCUACUAUGUUCAAGACUCAAGAGCCAUAUUUCUUGCAGGUAUUUAGAAAUAGUUAAAAAAGAAGGGCUAGAGAUAUCGCAACCUGCAUUAGAUGGUAAAAAAUCUCAGAUUCAUCAUCGAAUCACAGCUCGUUGGGGAAGAGGAGAUGUACACAGGUUUUGCCCUCUCUCUCUACGAAAUUUAAUCAAGUUUUCCUUUUCGAGCUCAUAUAAAUCAGUAUGAAAUUUUGUCUAACUAGAGUACUAACAACAGCGGAAAAUAUUUGUGUUUGUGUAAACAGAAGAAUAUACAAGUUAAAUGGCGGUGGGAGAUGUUAUGGCAACAGCACCGGCCCUCCGUGCACAGGGUUAACUAUAUAUUCCUUUUCAUAUGCUAUUUAUUUAUUUUAUUAUCAUCUUCUAUAUACCUCUUGCUUUUAACUACAAUAAAUUGUAAAUUACUUGAGAAUAACGCUAAUGCGGUAAUAGUUUCUGUGAUUUAUCUAUCAAUUCACAAGCUGCAAAUUUUUUCGAUAAGAAAUAAAAGAAAAAUAGAAUGUUGUUUACAAGUAUUUUCUAUCCUGAUCAAUUCUUAUCAUUCUUAUUUCCCUUUUUUUUUUUGUGGUGGGGUUUUGCAUGCAUAAUGUUAAAUUACAUGUACUGUACAAUUCUUUUGUUUGAUUUUCCCAUUCUUUCUUAUGUUAAUUAUUUACAGAUGGGUGGAAAUGAUGGCUCCUGUCUUUUCCAAAGCUGCUUGGCGAUGCGUAUGGUAUAUGAUUCAAGUGCGUCGACUAUUUCUCAUUGGAUUUAUCUUAGCCUUAUUGUGCAUCUUAUAUCUUAGAUCCAUGAUAACAUAGAUUCACAUGCGUAUGCGUAAUCGAACAAAAUUUUACUGAAGGCUGAAAUGCAGGAUAAUAUCUUUUUACUUCACCCCUGAUAUGUAAAACCUAUACAUUUCAGCCCCUUCAGAUGUCGCGAAUGAUGUAUAAUGUUUUCAUGACGAAAUGUUCUGUUGUUGCUUCAACAUCUAAAAUUCACGAUAUUCCCUAUUCUUUGUAGAAUGACUUGAUUUACGCUUGGGGUCUCGAUUAUAAACUUGGCUACUGUGCGCAGGUACGUUGUUAUAUUUUAAGCAUAGUCUUUCUUCUUUAAAGUUUUAUGCAAUAUAAAACAUACGAAAUCCUUUUCUGCAGGGUGAUCGGACAUUAAAUGUCGGGGUGGUGGACCGUGAAUAUGUAGCUCAUAUGGGUAUCCCUUCGCUUGGCGGGUUAUUAGAUGAGAAUAAGGUAAGAUAUCGAAAAUCUGCUCAGCUUUUAUAAAAUAAAGGUCCAUGUUAAAUACUUCUAAAAUGUGGCACGUACAUGCGCUUGUACAUGUGAUGCGGUAAUAAUAAGCAAGACACCACAGUACCUUGGCCGUCCAUAAACCGCUUUGUGCUUUUCAGAUCAUUGCUGGUCGAGUAUAAGUUCGAGUAAUACAUAAAUUUUGGUUGAAAUAUUCAUGUAGACCUGAGUCGAAGCUCUUUUAUACAGCUAAAUUCUUUAGUAGUUAAUGUGCCAUAUUCUUAAUUGAAAUUCUAUGGUUGAACACGCAGGUGUCGCCUGGAUCGACAACAUCUCAAGAUAAAGAUAGAUAUCGAGUAAGUAUCCUCAGAACUUGGCUUCCGAUCGACUUUGUCUAUGCAUAAAAACUUCUUUAUUUCUACAAUGUGGCCGCAUGUUUACCUUUCGUAAGUAGCACUUAGUUCGGCUUGCUGAAAGCGGUUUGAGUCGUUAAAUUUAACAGAAUCAUUAUUAACAUAAGUUGUUGAAUCCUUCUUUGUCGAUUGCAAAUCCUCUCUUAAACUCAACUAAACACGCAUCAAACACUUCUCUUUUUCGUAGGUGAGGCACCGCUCUUACGAAGAACUGAAGAUAUUCAACAAGCGAUGGCAAAAAGCUGCGGAGGAUAAGUGCUGGACCGACCCGUACCCUGAACAAGGGAAGAACUCGACGAACCGAUAAUCACAUACGCAGUUCUCCGUUUCCCCUUCGGCAUCCACUGAAUUUCAUAUACAAAGCUUCGGCCCGUGUCGUCGAGAUAUUAUACCAACCAAAAUCUUCGCUAAAUAGAAAUUUACAAACUCAAAUGUUUUCUCUAGGUAUAUAGGAAAGGAAUAUGCAGUAAAUGUAAAUGCAUGAUCCAUUCUUUCGCGAAUAACAUCGGUGUUUUAGUGUUUCAUAGCGAAAAAAUAACAGCGGUGUUUUAGUGUUUCAUAGCGGAAAAGUUUUGUGUAAAUGGCAUUUGUGUAUAAGGUUUUAUUAUCUUCAUCAUUUGCUUCUCUAGCAUUUUAGGAUAUUGGUGUAAUCAAAGAGUAAUUAGUGUUCGUAAUUAUAAGAGUUUUGUUACUUUGCGAGGUUUAAUUUCAGUAUUUAGCUUUUUCUCUCUCUUGUAAAGGAUAUUGAUUCAAUUGAGCACUUGUAAAGUUUAUUUCCCCUCAGUUUUUAUUUUUUAAUUAAAUGUUUUUAUUCAAACUUGAUGGUGAUUUUAUUAAUUUAAUGGUUACGCCCAUUUUUUUUGUUCCAAUAUUUUAAGAAAAUGUCAAUUUUUUUUAAUGUAAUCUCAGUGUUAUUUGACAAAAAUAAUCAAAUAAACGCAAAAAUUCAGUUUAGGUACCUUUUGCAAAGUACGUUACAGUUGAGGGGUUCCAUGCAAUUUUACCAGAAUUGGGCGGCGUCCCUUUCCGACCGUUGGCGCGAGAAGGGACGACCAGAGAAACCCUAUCCCCUCCUCCCCCUUCCCUUCGAUCGCAAAAAGAGGAAACCCUAACCCUGGCCAUGGAAUCCCGCACCAAAUUCUAUCUCCUCCCUCUCCUUCCCCUCCCAUGGCGAUCCACGUCGGAAUCUCCUCCACCUGCUCCCUCCCCCACCUCUUUCCCGGCCCCGGAUUGCGCCGCGAGAAGCUCGGGCUACGAUGCAGGGCGAGCCUCGGCGGAGAAGACGUAAAGACCCUAACUUUGAUCCCGUUGAGAUGGAAUUGCUUCCCUUUUUUGUUCUAAAUUUAGCCCUAAUUUGUCUUAUCGAGCGAUGGGUUUAUUUCGAUUGGAUACAUUGCAGGAGUAUUUGAUAGAUGCGCCGGAGUCGGUUGGAGAUGGAUUCGCUUUCAGUGGAGGUUAGUUUUUUUUUUUUUUUCUUUCACUCUGAUAUCCAGCGGAGUAGAAAAAGUUGGAACUUUUAGUGGUUUUGACUCAAAUAGCCUCAAAUUGGAUUAGGGAAGUAUGCUGAUGGGCCGAGCCGAUCUGAUGAGUGGUUUUCUCAGGGAAAAAUGGUAUGCUACUCUUUGCUAUCAUGACAUUGCUUUGUUGAGAUGUAAUUAGAAUUGAUUUUGGAUGGAACUAGUAGCAAAAAUGUAACCUUUUUUAGGCCUUGUACACAACUGACAUUUGGUAUCUAAAGACCUUAAAUGCGUCUGCUGUUAUAUAUUAAUACACUUUUGCUAUUGAUAGAGUGUUACAACAACAUUUUUCAGAUUAAAGCUCAUCCAGUGUAUGGAAAUAGAGGGAAGGCAAAAGAACCAAUUUUCGGUCUUACAAUGGGUUCCAGCUCACAAUCCUCGGCAGAUGUUUUCAGGUGAAUUCAGCAAUCUAUGUGGUUAGGAGGCUAUCUGCUAAUUUGGGGUUUACUCAGAAAACCCACAGCCCUUAAAUCCUGGUACUUAAAGCUGUAGGUCUCUAUGUUAGGUCGACUUUGUGAUUGCUAUAUAUGUGAUGUUAUUUCGCUCAUGUAUCUGCCUUUUCCCUUUCCUUCUAUAGGUGGUUUUGUGUUGAGGCUGGGAGUUCUUCCAAUCCUUCAGUCGUAUUAAUUCAUGGUUUUCCAUCUCAGGUAAUAAUAUUCUAGCGGGCAUCAUAAAAAAUGGUUUUGUCAAUUCAUUGGAAGUUGUCAAACAAAUAGUCUACUUAAUUUCUAGUUAAAAUAACUUGCAUUGAGAACUUAAUAAGGGAUGUUCUUUUCCUGCUAUAACUGUUGGAUGGAAUUUCUAUUUGCAGGCUUACUCUUAUCGCAAAGUUCUUCCCAUACUCUCUGAAGGUUAUCAUGCCACUGCUUUUGAUUGGCUAGGUAACCUUGUCCAUAUGGAUAUACACCUAAACUUGGUGACACAUUAGAACUUAAAACAUUUGGUUGUUGUAGUUUUCAAAUAAGAUUACAUUAGUAGCAACUCAAGAGUAUCCUACAAUUGCUAUAUGUUGUGACUAUUUGUUAUUAUAUUCGGGAAGGAUGUAUAAGUUUUCAACGAACAAUACAGAGCAGUUUAGUGACCCGCUAUACAGGCAUUCUACUCAGUUGCUAUUACAGUGUCAGACCUUUUGUUUCAGCCAUUUCUUCUCUUUGGGUUUAUGUUGAAACUCAUGUGUUCGUGAGGAAGUUGCACUUGUAAAGAAAAUUCUAUUUAAUAUCUGAUCUCAUCGUCAUUGCUUGCAUAUCUCACAAUAAGCAAUGCAAAAGAUUUUAUGUUACUCAGGUUUUGGGUUUUCAGACAAGCCCCAGCCAAAGUACGGAUUUGACUAUACUCUCGAUGGUACAUAUUCCUCCUAUCACCUGCUCAUUUCCAUGUGUGUUUCCGACAGAAACUAACUAAAGCUUAUUGAUUUUAGAAUAUGCUUCAUCCUUGGAAUCUCUUAUUGAUGUUAUUGCUCCAAACAAGCUUUCUCUUGUUGUUCAGGUAUCUUUGUUCCCAUCUGCUUACAGUGAACUCUGAAGUAUAAUUUUGUUUUUAAGUUGCGAUUCUUGACACAGAUCAAAACUGAAAAUUUUGCAGGGCUACUUUGCUCCAGUGGCUGUCAAGUAUGUGAGCUAUCAUCAAGAAAAAUUGAGACAUCUUAUACUUAUUAAUCCGCCUGUUAGUGAUUAUCAUAUAUCUUUUAUUUGUUGUCAAGCACAAUAGUUGCACGAAUAAUUGUCCUUUUCUUAUAGUUUUUUUUUAAAGAUAUAAUAUGUACUUAUACAUCCUUCUUGGUUUGUUGCUCUAGAUGAAUAUUUCUCUAACCUGCUGUUUCUUUUUUUCAACCCUUUUUUUUUUAUUGGCCCAUGUUAGAUAACCAGAGAAGCAUGCAAAGCUGCCUCAACACAUUAUCCUUAGUUUCUAGCAAUUUCUUGCUGGUGAAUAUUCUCCCAGGUAUAUUAGAUUACUUAUUCUUGCUGAUACCCCAAAUUGCAGCGUAUAUUUCAUACUAUCAGAAACCACAGAUGCUUCUGAAAUUUUGAAUUCCAAUCCUAUAGGAUCCGCUCAGAGCAAGCGAUAAGGCUUGACACAGCGGACCAUACAUAUGAAAGAGGAGGAUGCGAUGUUUAUAAAGGCCAUACUUAACAUCCGGUCUCUGGUUUUGCAUUAAAUGCAAUUAGUAGAGCCAUGAAGAGGAUCUAAAGGUAUCUUCUUUCCUAUAUUUGUAUUGCCAUUCAAAUCUUUGUUGAAUUAAGUAUAAUUGCAAAAGGACCGCUUCGCCACAGGCUUACUUUGAAGCUAUGAAGUGACACUAGCCGAUGAAUCCUGGAAAAUCCCGACAACUAAUUUGGGGAAUGAGAAUCGAUGGCUCGUUAUGAGGGCGUGAAAGAUUUUGUGAACGUUGAAUCAUAAACUAGUCGAGCUACCUAUGGUUCUCUCUCUUCUCUCUCUCUCUCUCUCUCUCUCCUCUGCGCAUGCACAACACGUGCACACACAGUCAUAACAAUAAUUUUCAAAAAAUUUGGAUUCCAUAUAUUUCAAAUACUCUAGAUUAUGUUAGAUGACGUUGAUUAUUCGGAUGCCUUCUCAUUGAAAAUGACUUAACGAGAAAGAAACCUUCAUACUUUUUCGACGAUGGGGCAUCCAUAUCCAAAUUCACACUACCAUAUUUAUCUAGAAGCAUUCUGAUGUGGCAUCCAUAAAUGCGUACUUUCAUGCGCUUCUUCAUGCAUUAUUGAUCAUGGUCACAAAUAUAACAUGGCAUAUGUUGUCGUUUUAUUUCUAUAACCCAAAAUACAUUAUCAAUGCGAUAACAUUUAAUAUCAAGCGGAACAAUGGUUUAAUACAUAUUGAAAAAGUGCGUCAACUUACUGCUUUCCAGUAAUGAUUAUUGGCACUGCAUUUCAGGGUAAGAUUUGUACUUAUUCUGCAGGCAGGUCAUCAUGCACAAGAGGAUUGUGGAGAAGAACUCGGAAGGUCAUCACGAAGAUCAUCAGUAAAAGUGUGUUAGAUUUUCUAACUUCGCUUUCUCAUUCUUUCAAGAAGGAAUAGCAAAUCCUGGAAACCAAAAGUUUUCUGCUAUACAUUUCUACCUGGGCUUUUCCAGCCAGUAAGUCAUGAUAAAAAAUGUUUAAUGCAGAUUUUCUAUUCAGCAUAGAAACAUUGAAACUUUAAGAGUUCAAUUUAAAUUUUUGUGCAGGGUUCAUUGGAAAUUUUGUGGAAUAGGGUUAAAUGGUAACUAUGAUCCUGGCAUGAAAUGUUAAAUUCCUGUGUUUGGAUGAUUGAAUUCAUGAUAUUGCUGAUGCUGAUUGCUUAGAAAAUGCAUGAAUGUACCAAAAUACUCUAAAUAAUGUCUUCUGAUGUUAUACAUCAAUUCGAUCUCUGUAACAAUUUGAAGUUUAAAGGCAUCAAUGCUGCAACAAAUUCAGUGACCAAAAUGAAAUUCACAGCAAGUACAGUGACAAAUGGUGUAAUUUUAAACUUGGAGACACUUUCAUCUUGAUAGAUCCAAGAGCCUGAAACCGAAAAAAAAAAAAAUGAAGAAAAAAAGAACAACCCAGACAAAUAUCAUGUAGCCAUAAAUUAUUUUAACUCAGAAACACAUGAUAUUUGUGUAGUAGUGAUACAAUCAGUUAAAUUUUUAAUAUUCGUAUAGGCAAAACUCAUUCACAUUUUUGCAAUAAGGAAUGAUGAGGGCACAACAUAUUCUUGAGGAGUCCAAAACCUAACUCUUGAACACACAUAUAUACCCCAACAUGAGGGUAAAAGGCCAAAUAUUAGUCUAACUAAUGAAACCUAGAGAGCACAUAGUAUGCAACUAGCAGUGCAGAGAACAAGCAUCCCAAAAGACCCUGCACAAAUAAACAACAGAACAUCAAUAUGCGAAGAAAAGAUUACAAUGGAAUUGAAUUCGAUUUUGAAUGUAUCUAUUUGUUUAAGAUUUUUUGUAUAAAAUUAAGAAGUACUUACCAGUGCUGAGAACAUCGGCAUGUAAUCCGUAUUCCCUCGCAAAAAUAAAUGAGGUGAUGGAUUGCGGCAGCGCAGCCUGCAUAACAGUUCAGCCAAAAUUGUAGCUCAAAAAUUUGUAUUCUUCUAUUCGGAGACAAAUGAAAUGAACUCAUCAUGGAAGAUACUUCUUUGCACUUAAUUAGAAAUGAUGAUACACAAAGGUCCUUUUAGUGCCAGGCAUUAAGUGUCAGAACCAAGAUAAAGCAAAUUGAUGACUGGGGAACACUAAGAACAGCAAAGUGUUCACUGUCGAAGAUAUCGGUGCGAGUUCUUAUCGACAUGGUUUAGCAUCUCCAAAAGCUUAAAGAUUUGAUGGAUCUUUAUUGUAUAAUUGUUUACACUCUUUAACACAUAUCUAUAAUACAUAGCACAGUUAAUGGCUUGAGUAAUCCACAAAGUUGUGUGUAAUUUACAGAGAAUAGAGUGAGAACUAGAGCUUUCGCUCCUAAAUACAAAUUGUAGAAACAGUUUUUAUAACCCAGAACAAUGAUUUCAACUAACUCAACUCCUGAAACAACAUACUGUUUCGUCUCAUUUGUUUCGUAUUCUUCCACUAUUAUUCGGUAUUCUUCAUUAUUUUGAUCGCGUACGCAUCGUUACAUAAAGCAGGAUAAUCCAGGAAUUAAAUGAAGUUAUAUUCCAUGUGGAUAUUAAUCUUCGAACGAAACGUGACUGAGGGAAUAAAAACUGCAGUGAGAUUUUUUUUUGGCACAGCAAUUUGAGAGCACAAGACAGAAUAAAUUCUGGAGCAUCAGCUAACAAGUUGCCAUGUCCACAUCUUCUCCACUAGCUUCUUAAUUACUUAGAGGACUUGUUUUUAUAAAAGUUGGCAUCAAACAAAUUACCUAAUUUAGUAAACAGUUGUUGAUUGUAGUAAAAGAAAAAAGGAAAAAAAAAAUUCACAUUCUUUUUUGCUGAAAACUUAUCAGAGAAUCUCAUCAACCUAAAUAGUUCUUUUGUUGGAAUAGAAGAAUCUAGCAAUGAAUUAAAUGAAACAAGUGUUAUAAUAUACAUACAUGUAAAUGUAUGCCUCCGGAUUGUACGCACACGUGAAUUAGAAAGAUUUUUCACCCGUUAAAAUAAUGUGAGACCCACACCAUUCAAUCUUAUUCACGUGAAUCUUACGACAGCCUCUUAAAUCGCACAGAUGCUAUAACUUUACGUACGCAUAAUUAUGUGUGGUAUUAAUCAAAUGAUCGUCGCAAUCUUAAGUCGCAUGUUUUAUGCAAGUGUGAAAUUCGAUCCUAGGAACUCAAAAGCAAAAUUAAGAGCAUUUUUGAGGGGUAUAGCAUCCAAAGAUAUGUAAUUAAGUUCCCAGAAAACUACAUAAGUGAACUGAAACAAUGAACUUAUGGAAGAAUUCUAGAUCGUUAACUUUGUACUUAUAUAUAUGAAAUUGAUCAUACAAAAACUUGUUUGUUUUUUUAAUGUGUUAUAUAUAUUUGUCUGUUGCUAAUCUCUUGAGUUCAUUUUCCACUAGUGUUAAAAAUGCGUCCCUUAUGUAAUUUGAUCUCUACUCAUCUCUAAUUGUUAUUGAGUGCACAUAAUUAAAUCCAUAUCAAAGAAGUCGUGCACUCUUAUGUUAAUUAAAACAGUUGCACUGAAUAAUUAAAAACCAAAAAAAAAGCAUCUAAUUUACAUAAGUAGAGUGAUUAGUAAGAGAGUGCAAAUUGAUUAAUCAAUGGUAGUAAGAGAUAGGCUACCUGUAUGAUGGCGACACGAAGAACGUCGCCGCGAAGGCCGACAGCGAUCGAUCCGAUCGCCAUGCUGCAGGGCCUGCGACGAACCUGAGAGCCAUCCGAACACCGUCAAGCUCGGCCGCACGCGAUGAUCUUCUCUUGCAGUGCAUGAAGAGGCCUACAAUUAAUCAAUCAAUCAAAACAGUUAAUAAGUGUACUUACUAAGUAUAGUUCUAAAAUGUUAGAAUAAACUUAAUUAAUUUGAUGAUAAGUUAAUAUUAAUGAUAAGAAUUAAUUAAUUAAUAAUUAAUUGGGUUGUUAAUAUUUCUCACCCAUGUCUGAACAUGGCCAUUCCUGUCCCUGCCCUGGACAAAUUAGCACUGAGCCCUCCAUGAUGCCUGGCAUUUCAAAGUGCCACCUAUGUAUGUAUAUAUAAUAUAUGGAUCCAAAAGAAAAUAAGAAAUUAAUUGGUUGAACUUAUUAUAUAUAUGUAUAUAUGCUGAUCCUUUAAAAAGGUACUAUUCAUGUAGUAUAGAGAAAUAUCAAAAUUACACUUAAAUAAAUAGAUGAACCAACACCCUGUGAAGCAUAUAAAUGGUGCUUAAUUAAAGAAAAAAAAAGAUUGAUAAUUAAUUAAGGGUGGAAAAACCUGAAAAUUAGAGAUAAUGAUCACGGAAGGUUAAUUUGUUGCACGCAUAUAAAGCUUAGAGUAGUGUCUUAGGAUGUAACACUGGCAAUAUAUUCUGAAAACUUUAUUCUAUUUCUUAUGCUUAUACAUUUAUAUGUUCUUAAUAUAGUGAUUUUUUUUUUUUUUCAAAAGGCUACUCUAUUCAUUAUUUAAUUAGUUCCAGAGUACUCUAGCAAGUAUAUAUAAUAUUUUAGCAUUUGUACAACAAUAGUGACAUAUAUGUAUCCCACUCUUAACCUUAAUGGUAAUUAUACGUACGUACGUUAGCGUUCAUAUAUCAAUUAAUACAAAAUAAGGCACCAACUAUUUUACUAGUAGGGCUGGCAAAUGAGCGAGCCGGCUCGCGUUCGCUCGAUAUUUGCUCACUCGAGUCGCUCGAAAAUUAAAUGAGCCGAGCUUGAACGAAAAAAGGCUCGAAUUUAUUCAGCCGAGCUGAGUAAUGGCUUGUUCGAAAUAGGCCGAAAGCCGAAAAGCUCGAAUGAAUAUAUAUAUAUAUACUAUAUAUAUAUAUAUAUAAUAUAUAUAUAUAUAUAAUAUUAUUUAAUUAUAUAUAGGCUGAGUGAAUAAUCUGAGUUUAGUUAAAAUUGGGCCAAUAUUGUUGGCCCAUAAAAAACAAACCCAAUAGACAAAUAAAAGAGCAAAAUUUUACUAAAUUUAUACAUUUUCCUUCUUCUUUCUUUUUUUCACAGAGCUCUAAAUUUCAAUAUAUUUCUCUCUUCUCUCUUUUCUGUUCUCACCCUAGGUAGCCAAGCCGGAAGCCCUCCAAAUUACAAAGUAGCAGCAUAUGUUUGCCGUUGCUAUCUUGCUAUUAAUUAUAGCUUGAAAAAAUAUACAAAAUAUUUUUAAAGUAAAAAAUUAUUAUUCAUAUAAAAUUUUAAUUUUAGUUAUAUAUGAUUGGAUAGUUUAAUCCAAUAUUUAUCUAUAUAAUUUAUUUAUUUUUGACUGUAUAAAUGAAAAUGAUAAUAUAGAGAUUGAAGGGGAAGAAAAGACAUGUGAGGCUGAAAAGAUUAGAAUUCAACUCAUAAAUUUUUUUUUUUCAUAUUAUAAUAUUAUAUUUUAUAUAUAUUAUUUUAUGCUUUGAACUAUUAGACAUAUUUUUGUAUUCAAUGUUCUAUAGAAUUAAACUAUUGAUCGUAUGAUGUUGAGAAUUCUAAGCGGCUCGUUUAGGGCUCGAGCUCGCUCGACUCAAAAUUAGGCUCGCUCGAGCUCGGCUCAAAUUAAUUUCAAUCCAAGCUUGAGCUUAAAUUUAGGCUCGAAAUUAAUUUCAAGCCGAAUUUGAGCCGAGGUAAGCUCGCUCGAGCUCGGCUCGUUUCCACCCCUAAUUACUAGAGCUAAUAUAUAUACCAUGAUCAUAUAAUAACUUGUGCAUAUAUAAAUAUAUGUUGAUGAUCAAUAAUAAUACAUACAUACAUACUACGUACGUAUAUGCGUACGUACAUACCUAUUUGAAAUGAAGGCCCAAGUGAUUCCGACGUAGCACGCGUAGGAGUUGGGGUUGACCGCGAGCUUGAGCCACACCACCUUCAUCAGUGACCAGAAAGAAGGCCUCGUUACGUUCGUCGCGUUCCCCUCCACAUCCUUCACUGGGCUCAGACCACCACCACCACUGUUUGCAGCAUUUGUGACGGAGAGCCCGUUGUGCGCCUUACGCAGCUCGAACACGAAGAGCAGCAGCGUGAGCCAGACGAUGGCCUGCACGACCGACAGCUGCACGACCAGGUCCUGCGCCCAGCGGCCGUACAUGGCGCUGGCGAGCGGAACGCCGACGACCAAGGAGUUGGUGAGGGUGGAGAGGGAGAAGCUCGUUAUGGACCAGGAGUAGCUCCCCUUGCUGCUGCUGCAUUUGGCCCAGGCGGCGAUCACGAGGACGAUGAUGGCCUUGGAGAUGGCGUCGGCGGCGAUGGCGCGGUAGUUCAUGGCGAAGGGGUCGGUGUGGAGGGUGAACUCGAAGGUGAAGAGGGGGAGGGUGAAGGAGGCGACGAGGCGGUUGAUCGCGUCGCACUGCUCCGGGGUGAAGAUCCUCCACCACCGCACCGACCCGUAGCCGAGGCCGAGGGCUACGUACAGCGGCACCAUGGCCUCCACCACCUUGUAGAUAUCCCCCCACCCUAUCAUCUUUGUCUACUUAACUAACUAUAUAGAUAGAUAGAUAUAUUGGUAGCUCCUCUAGAUAGAGUGUAAUGAUAUUUGAGUACUAGCUAGGGUUGGAUAUAUAUAUGGUUGUGAAGUGUAUAUAUACAGAUAUAAGAGUGUUGAUGUAUUUAUAUGUAAGUGGAAGAGGGAACAUGGAGAAUAAGAAGGAAAAGGAUUUAGCUAGCUUGGGUGUGUGUGUGUGUGUGUGUGUGUGUGUGUGUGUGUGUGUGCAUUGGAUUAUUCCAUUAAUGAGGUGGAUGGUAUUUUGAGCACCAUUUGGAAGGGAGCUAGGAUUAGGGUUAGGGUUAGGGUUUCUUGAAGAAGAGUGUGCAUGCAUGGCAUGAGAGAGAGAGAGAGAGAGAGAGAGAGAGAGAGAGAGAGAGAGAGGACACCUGUGAUGAAGCCUUAGCAUAAGGAAUCAGGAGCAGUGGUUAUUCCACACAUGUUGCCCUAAUGAGGUGCUGUAAAUUAAUUAUUGGAGUAAUCUUUUUGUAAUGUGAUGAAAUAAUUGAAUAGAGCACCUAAAUGAGAGAAUAUGGAACCUAUUCUUUCGCAUAAUGGGAAGCCUUUUUAGCUUAAUUCAUUUAGUUAAAAUAUAUAUAUAUAUACACUAUCGAUAGUAUCAAGCCCUUGAUACUAUUGAGUUUUCUACCGUUAGAUCUACCCUUUGAUCAUUUCCAUCCGUAAGAUUAUACUAUUAAACCAACCAUCCACUCAACCCUAGGGAACCACUAUCAUCCUAACCGCACAUCUUUUCAUUCAACAGCCGAAAACUCAAUAGUACCGAGAGUUUGGUACUAUUGAUAGUAUAGUAGCAUAAUUCUAUAUAUAUAUAUAUAUAUAGUAGAGCUAUUAUGCUAUCGGAAAUAUAGAGGAUCUUGUGCUUCCAAUUUGUAGGCCCUUAGAUCAACUCAUUUGAUCAUUUCUAACCUUUGGAUUAAUACUAUUACUCUGUGGGAACCACUCAACCCUAAGGGUACUACUCAACUCUGGGGGGACCACAAUCAUCCCAACUAUAUAAUUUUUGAUCCAAAGACUAAAAAAUCGGAAGCAUCAGAUUCUCUGUACUUCCGAUAGCACAGUAGCUCGACACUAUAUAUAUAUAUAUAUAUAUAUAUAUAUAUAUAUAUAUAUAUAUAUAUAUAUAUAUAUAUAUAUAUAUAUAUAUAUAUAUAUUAAAUCUCAAAAAGUAGAUGCUGAUUGUUUUGAUGGUCAGAAUUAAAAGUAUCACUAGAAGGAAAAACAUCCAACAUCUCUUUAUAAUGUUUUCUGUAAUAUAAUUAAGGAUCUGGAUAUAGCACGAAGACCGUUGUGCCGUUAAGCAAUCAAAUUUUGAGUUUAGUUGGAAUGCUUUUAGCAGCAUCAACACAUUUGUGCCUCAAGAAACCAAAGUGUUGAGUUUUUAAAUAUUUAGAACUCAAAUUUUGAGGUGUUUUUAGAGAUCAAAACUUAUAAAAUUUUUUAAUUUUUUUUUACUACAUCCAGUGGCUAUGAAAUUAAUGAUCAAAUUAAAUUGAUGAUCCGGAUAAAAGAGCAUCGAGUAGCAGGGAGUUGUAACUAAUUUUGACCCCUUAAAAGACAAAAAUACCAUGAUAGAAGUUCUAAAAAAUUAAAAUUUAAUUCACUAAAUGGUUCUAUGAAUGGCCUAUACAUUACAUCAAUUUUCUAUUAAUCGAGCAAUUUACUCUUCGAUCCGUUAUUUUUUAGACUAAUUGAUACUUCAGUAAUAGAUUUUCAAACCCUAUGAAUUUUUUUAAAAAAUUUUUGGGUUAUAAUGUUGGAAUUUAACUUUUAAUUAAGGUCUUUAAUCAUUAAAAAUUAGAUGCAUUAUUGCUGUUCCGGUGUAUGAUGUACGGAUACACCAGGUGCAUGUAAAUAUUUUAACCUGGGCCGAACAGCGAGGUCUUAAUGGGCCAUGAAGAGGCCCAAUAAGGACGAGAUGGGCUUUGUAAGGCCCGGCCUUGUAAUUGACACGUAAAAGGUUCUAGGUUUUUUAUUUACGGUGUCGCUUCGAGAAUAUAUAAAACUUUUAAUGAUAAUUUUAAUUUACUUUAAAAAAAAAAAAAAAAACCUUAUCUUAGGCCCUUACACUUCACAAACACUAAAUAGUGAUUCAAAUUUAUAUCCCAAGAAGCCGGGGAAUCGAGCCCCACUUCAUAAUGCGUGUAUACACAGAGAAUCGAACCUCUGAUCUCUGUCUCAACGAUCCUAGUAACAAAUACUGAGUUAGCCUUGAAAUUGUUUAUAAGUUUUACUGGUUAAUUACAAAUAGUUUCAAAAGUUCGACUUGAAUCUUAACAACUUUAGCUCCUAAAGCUUUUGAGUCCAAUCUUUUUGACAUUUUAUCAGCUUUAACCUCCUUAACAAAGCGUAACUUAACAUUGAUGUUUAUGAGCGUAACUUAACAUUGAUGUUUAUGUGGUGCUUCUUCAAGUAGGUCCACUAUUGACUUGAUUAUUAUUCUUAUAACGAAAUUAGUAUCGGAAUCAAAGUCAAACUUCAGGGACGCAAAUGAAAAUUAUCUUAUUUUUACUGUUUUGAAAAUGUUAAAUAAGUUUGGGGUUUGCACCUGCAUUAUCUCACAAGAAAGCAAGUAGAGCAGAGCAGGUGGUAGAAUAAACCCAAAUGGGCAAAUCAAAACAAAUAACCUAUUUGUUGUGCAACAUAAACAAGAAGAUACUAUCCAAAUAUAUUCCCAUCCUUUUUGCAGAGGGGAUCCAUUAAUGGGGCUCAGGAAUAAAGUUCCAAAUGCAGUUGGUGGUAUGCUGAUGAUGCAACCCUGAAAGAGAUUGAGAAAUUGUGGUUGUGCUCAUUACAACCCAAAAAAGCCACAAAAAAGAAGGAAAACAAGAGUGUUUUUUAAGAAAAAAUUUGUUCCUUACUCAAAUCCUUGUCUGUUUGCUUCUCCAGUUGCUGCUUCUCCUUUUCAACUCCCAGAAAGCUGCUGCUUUAAUAUGUCUAGGGUGAGUUGUGGCCAAGCAUCUGCUUUCAUAUAUGCCUGUAGAUAAUAUUCCAUGUAAAGAGAAACUAAUGCUUCUACUAGCAUCAUCAUCAUCAUCAUCAUCUGCACUAUUACUAUUAUUAUUGUUAUGAAUGUGGUGAGCAGGUGAGAUAUGCUUGGGAGCAGCUACUGUCAACUCCCAAUCCAAGCAGCAGAUGCUUUUCGGGAGCAUCUAUGGUGUCGAUGUCGUGUUUGUGUUUGCGCGUCGUGUUCGUAUCUGUCAAAGAUUUGAGAGAUAACAGUAACUUUGUACAAAUAAAAGCACGACUGAUAGCAGAUAAGAGUAAAACAAUAACCACGAACAAUUUGCAAAGCCGUUUUACAAACAGAGGUGGUCGACAUAAUCCUAACAUAAGGCGAACCCAAGCCAUACUUUUCCUCCUUGGGUUUGAGCCGUGUUCGCAAAAUUGCCACCCUAACUUCGUUAAUAGAAGCGGAUAUGAAGGAGCUCCAUUUUCAGCAGUUCUCACUGCACCGACAGCAUCGAUCGCGAUCAAUUUUGUUUCAAUCGAAUUCGUCAAAUUGCACACUGAUUAUUAGGAUAAAUGAUUCUACACAUUGAUUAAUCUAAUCAGGGUCUCACACAAGCGUAACACAACUUGCGUAACAUUAGUGGAAAAUUGACAAUGUGGGCAUAUGCCAGAGGUGGGGCUUGUAACAAGAGGUGAGCACUUAGGAUGGCCCCAAUCCUGCCACAUGAGCAUGUUUAGCACAUACCAAAAAAAACAACAUCAUAGUGGAUCUUGGAAGCAGAAAUUAAUAAAAUAUUAGGGAAAUGAAUACCAAAAGAUUAACUUUGCUUUUUAGGUUAGUUUUUAAAUACAAAGCAGUGCUUUCGAAGAGUUUUAAGUGAUUCCCUCCUAGUUUCGGAAGCAUUUAAGCGCUUUCAAAACUUUUAGGCCCUCCAUAGCAUCAAAGUGGGUAUGGUCAUGCAAUGUAUUUACACUUUAGGUCUUAGUCAUUAAGCAGAUACAAAAGUGCUUCUUAAUGCAUUAAGUUGACCAGGAAAAGAUCUACAAUUACUAUCAGCCAAAUACCACAAGAGGAAAAGGUAAGCAAGCAUGAUUUGCUAAAAGUUCUUUAGCUUUAACUCUCUAAUCUUGUAGUUCAUGUAUGUUAUGAUAAGCUGUAGUAUAGAAAAAAGACUUGACAAGUGGUUGAUGUACAUAAAGGAGUGUUUUAGAUUCAUGUUGCUAUUGUGGUCCUGCUUGGUGCCAAUUUUGCUAUGACGAGAAGCUAAAAUAAGCUUUUGAGCACGAACAGCAGAAGACAUAGUUUCAAGCUUAAUUCUGCUUCUUCUACAGUGAGAAGUUGUUUGAAUGUUUUGGAGAAGAAGUUGUUAUUGCUUUUCAAACAAUGUUACAAAGGGCACUUUUAAGAAGCUAUAGCAAGCCAAAGAGUCCCCUAAGGCCUGUUUAGCCCGACUGUGGGCCACGAUGUGACCUGCAUAUCAGGGACUUUGUUGAAUUUUGCUUGCAAAGCCCGUGCAACAUGCAGCUGCAGAAGAUAGGUAUUCCCUUCUAAACCACACAUUAGAUCUAUACAAGGGGCCAAAAGAGAACACAAACACAUUGACAACUAUAAUGAUUUAUUUGCUAUGAAAAAUGUAAACAAAUUACAAUAUCACUAUGAUAUUUUACAAAAACUUUUCUGACACUGAAAUCGAACAACAGCGAAAAGCAUGGUGAAGCAAUGUACAUAAAAUUGGGUCAAACUAUCACACAAACAGUAUGUGAAUGGAUCUAGCCUACAAAAUUGGGCCUCACCUGCCUUAUACUGUGGUACCUAGAAGGUUCAAUGCUGCUCCAUUCCCGUUGUCGUCCAUGGCACCGUCAGAAGUGAGCUGCAGAAGAGAAAAGGGGGGGAUUUUCUUUUCUGAUUGCAACAUUCGAGCUAGAUUUUAGUGCAUUGCAAGGUACUUGUAAUCAUGAUUUUCUAGGAUGACCAUUCCACCUUAGUGGUGAUAAUCCAAAAUUUCAUACACCAUUUAAGGCUUCCAAAGGAGCACAUAGUACUAGAGAUAAAGCCAAUUAGAUGAGGAAGCACAUGUGAAAAGUUGCCUAACUUUUGAUUUUAAGGGGGAAUUUCUUGAGAGAAAAAAGAGGAAAUAAUAAACUAGCCUUCAUGAAAUUUGUUGUUGUGUGGAAUAUAUGAGUAAGAAACACCGUUUUUUGACAACUUAAGCUUUUGAGAGAGAGUGUUGAAUAUAUAAAUAAGAAACACUGUUCUCUAACAACUUAAGCUUUUGGAGAAAAACGAUUAUUUCAUAUAAUCUAAUGUUGUGAAAUAACUCCCGUUAGCAAUCAAAUCGGUAUUAAAUAAGAUAUAUCAUGUCAUUUAAAAGUAUAAACCAUACAAAAACCAAUAUUAAAAAAGCAAAUUAAUUGUCACAAAAGAUGAUGCUGAGAAAAACAAUCCGGAAUAGCUGCUCAUGUAUAGUGUACUAAUCGAGUUUCCAUAAAGAGAUAUCAUCUAUACAUUAAAUCACGGAGUCAGUAAGUAGAUGUGACUUCAGUAAGGAAGAAGUGGUACCUCGCUAUAAUAGGAUUUUGAUAGAAAGAAUGGCUCUUGCUCUCGAAUUCCUCCAUUCUCAUUGAGAAUAUUAAUCAAAUCCUAGCCGCAGAUUAAUUAAAAAAAAAAAUGUGUGUAAGUAUCUCAAUCAUCAGAUCAGCAAUGCAACCCAUUACACUAUGUUCUGAUUUAGUAAAUCAUGCUGAAUUCAUAAAACUUCUGUUGAACAGACAUAACAACUUUACAGAAUAGUCAGGCAGUUACCUCUCCUGUCAAAUUUUCGAACUCAAGUAACUGCUCCACAAUUUUCUCUAGCACUUUACGAUUUUUCAGAAGCAUUUCUCUGGCCUUGUCGUACCCUAAGUCGUACAUCUGCAGAAAAACAAUCAUUAAGUAUGACAUAAUAAGGUAAUAGAUUUACAAAAUAAUAGAUUUACAAAAUCUCAGGCCUCUUCCACAAAGCGAGUGAUAGUACACAGUAAGUCAUAUUAUACGCGCCUUUUCAACUUUAGCUGCCAUCUCAAAUUCAUGGUUGUUCCCCAUACUCAGAGAGCCAACCUGAUCAAGUAAACACAGCAAUGUUAGUAAGGAAAAAGUAGCAAAAGAUAGCACAUACAUUUCCAAAGUAUUUAACAUUAAUGACCCACGAAGUCGUCAGACUUAUAAAGACAUGAAAAUUAUAGGAAUAGACUGCCCGCAGAGAUCUAAAACAAUCGAAUAAUGAAAUAAUAAAAUUUAUAUGGAGCAAUUUUAAAAGGGAUGCUUUAAGUAAGGUUCAAAUAAUGAUCAGAAGCUUACACUAAAAUGUUGGUACCAAUAAGCAUGUUUGCAUGAGGAUGAGGGUAGAAACUUAUUACUCGACAUUCUAUUUCACUUAUUAGCAAGAGGGCAUUUACUCAUAGGUUCCAGAUGGCAAGGUUUAUUCAUCAAGUUUGACAGAUUAUCUUAGCAAGUGGAAUAAUGAAGUCCAAAUUAUGCAUAUCAAAAAGGGAUACAGAAACUUCAUGCGCUUGUUUUUCUGCAGAAAGCUACACACCGCUUUGCUAGUGAUGUAAAUAGCAGGACUAUCAUCCGGACCCCAUCCAUAUUGAAUCACCAUGCGUGUUGCUAUCUGCAGUUAACAAAGACAUAAUUAAAUAAUCAAUUACCACUUUCAAAAGGAAAUUGUUCAAAAAGAAGAAAACAGCUAAUUUCCCUAUAAUUUAUAUUUGUAGCUUUGCAGGAUCAAGAAAAUUCAGUUUACCUCUUGAGCUUGCUUAAGUUCAGAUGAGGACAAGAAAUUUUCUUCGCCGAAAGGUAGUAGCAAUUGAGAUGCAAUAUAUGAACCAAAGCAAAAGACGAGCUUCUUUUCCAGGUAUGACCGUGAUUCUACAUUUCCAUUUACAGAGCCUUCAUUCUUUGCUUUUGUAAUCUUUGUACAUCCAAUUCCCUGAAAGGUCAUGAAUUGAUUAACAUAUCCGUGUUCACACAGAGCACACAAGUUAUAUGACAGACAUUAGCAAUUUUGCACUAAUUAUAGAAAAUCAAACCAACCAUCAAGUAAACAUUAUCACGAGUGUCAUACACACCACGACGCUCCUUUGGCUCUCAAGUUAUGGUACUUGAGGGGGAAAAAAAAAAGAGUUACUGUAUGAAAUGGAAAAUGCAGUUGCUGAAAGUACAAUUUUGAAUAAUUCAUUAAAAAGCCUUUUGCUAAUCACGAUUCUGAUAAUGCAUAUAUAAAGGAAAUCAAAAAUUUAAACAGAACAUAUGAAAAGCAAAAGCAAAACAAGCAAACCUCCCAUGCAGUUGGCUCAAGCCAUAUGUUAUCAACGAUGUCAAAAUUUGGUAGAAGAAGAGUAAUAAGUCCACGACCAGCUGCCCACACAGCAUGAGGAAACUUUGUCUCCAUUGACCACUAAGAAACAACCAAAAAAAAAAAUCUAAUAUUCAAAACAUUUUUCACAGGAAAUCAAAUGAAAUGCACGAAAUAGAAUAGAAACCUAGAGUAAGACCAACAAUAACUACUAAAAGGAGGAAUAAUACAGAACCAUAUAUUAUUUUGGUAAAAAUGUACAAACCUUACCUGAAUUAUGGAUCAUUUUGAUUUGGCUACCCAACCUUUCAAAAUUUUGAUUUUAUUACCCAACCUUUCAAUUUGUUUGAUUUGAUUGAGUAAACGAUAUUUUGACAUCAAAAUUUGAAUGUGUUGCUUAUCUUUAUAGAUUUAGUUAUUUUAAAGUCAAAGUAUCGUUGAUUGACUCAAAUCAAUCUAAUUGAAAGAUUGGUAGGAAAAUCAAAAUUUUGAAAGAUUGCGUAGCCAAAUCAAAAUGGUUCAUAAUUCCGGUUAAGUUCUAUACAUUUUUACCUAUUAAUUUUAACUUACAUCAAGAGGAGGGCUCAGAAGUUCAAUUCCGUUACUUAUCUGACCAUAGGGUUCCAUUAGAUCAACCACCUGCUGCAUAUCUUCUCUUGUCAAAGUCAAACCAAGAUGAUUAACUAUAUGCUUACUUAUUUUCUUGGCAAUUGGUGUUCUUCUCAGCCACUUGGGAAUGGUACUACUAAAAGUCUGCAAUAGAAUGACCGAAUAAGAAUUAGCACAAAUAAAGGUAAUCUGUAAGACAUUACAUAGUCCAAAUGAAUGAAUUAGAAGAAGAUAACGAUGUGAUCUACAUGAGAAAUAAGUAAUAUGAAUUAAGAUGUAUAAUUCUAAGAUUCUGAUUCUAUAGUAAUAGAUGUGAAAUUUUGGUUAUUUAUCUACACUAGGUUCAAUUUGAAGAUAAACAUAUUGAUUGCAAAAGUAGAACUAGAAAUUUUGGCAUUGACAAAAUUUAUAGUAGCAAACUUCUUGCCUAACUGGCCAAAGGCAUAAAUAAGCAACCAUGACUAGUAAUAACUAAUAAGAGAUUUUAGUUCUGGAGCAAGGAGUAUUUCCUACCGCAAACCAGCUGCAGUAGCUCAUUAGUUCAUCAGUGUCAAGAAACUUGCUCCUAAAUGCACUACCUUCGAGAGCCAAAGGAACAAGUUUCAAUUCUAUAGGCCUUAAAAGAGCUGUCUUUUCCGCAACCUGAGAAGGGUUAACAAUAAAUCAUUACGAGAUAGAUGCAGAGGUUUUCCUUUUUAUUUUUAUUUUUAUUUGGCAAACAGACACUCACUGAUACGAGCAUUGUGCAAAUACUACUGCAAAGUUGGUACUUGUGUGCAUGACCCUGAAAAGGGUAGUUGCAUUCAUGCACCUACCAAAAGCAUAUAUGCAAAUUAUCCCGACAGGGGAAUGCAUGCAAAUGAACAAGGUUUUCAGAAACUAGCUGAAAUACCACGUUUACAAGGGCAUAUACGCAAUUUUGCAUAUUUGCAGGUUCAUAUAUGCAAACAAAAAGCUUGAUGCUUGAACAGAUUUUUCUAUCCUGUAAUGAAUUACCUUCUUCAAAUGAAAGUUUUAAAGCACCACGUACCUUUUUCCAAUCAACAAAAUCAAUCAAUUCUUUAUCCAUAGUUUCCUUCGCUGCAAACUGUAAUAUCUUUUCCCUUUCCAUUUGAGUUGGUCGUUGGAGAUGCAAUACUCUAUCCAUGCGGCCUGGUCUUUUCAAUGCUUCAUCGAUUUGUUUAAGAUUUCUGGUAGUCGCCAUCAGAAGAACUCCGUCUUGAUUCUCAAACCUGUAAAACAUGAUUAAGCUAGUUAAACUACACUAUUUUGUGCCAAGGGGAUGAAUAGAAAGUAUGGCAAUCACUUUCAUUAAAAGAGAAGCAACCAAAAAAAGCAUGAAACGCAUACGGUUAUUACCCAUCAAGUUCCACAAGAAGCUGAUUAAUAAAUGCCUCAUGAUCUUGCUUCGUAGUGUGGAUAAAUUGGCCUCGAACACCCGCAAAAAGAUCGAAAUCUUCAACAAAAAUAAUUACCGGUGCCUGCAAAUAUAGGCCAUAUUAUUUCCCCAAAGUUGACAAGAAAGAGAUAAUGCUAAGAAACAACUAGUUAUGGAUAUCUCAUCAAAAGACAAAAGACAUAACUGAAAAGAAGAAUAGAUAAAGGUAGUAAUUUUCAGCAUACCAAAAUAAAUAUUGCUAUUAAAUUGUACUAAUGAAACAUACAACCUCUUAAGGUCAUUCUGAUAACACAGUAAUGUCAGUGUCUUAAAGACAUAAAUGCUCAGAGACACAUCUUUUUAGACUUGGUGAACGAAUUGCAAGUAAUAAAAAAAAGAUUAUCAUAGAAAAUAUUAAGCAAGAUUAGAUAACAACCAGAUCCCUAGCUGUCUGGAAUAACUCCCUGACAUUGGAUGCACUUUGACCAACCCAUAAACCAGCUUCAAGUUGAUGAGCUUUGACCUCAACAACAGGAACUUUAGCUUCCGCUGCUAUGGCUAGUGCAAGCGAUGUUUUCCCUGUUCCUCUCUCACCAACAAUAAGAACUCCCUGCACAGAGUAGAAGAGGAAAUUUGUGAUUGCUUUCUUAAUGAACUUUUGAUGGCAAUGUCAAGCUUUAUUACCUUGCUAGGGAGGUCAAAGAUAGCAAAGAAAAAACAAAUGGCUAAGUGUUAUAUAAUUAUAUUGGGGAACCCAUGCUGUACAUUAUUCAAUGCCGGCCGUGAAGGAUAGAAAGUUUUGAGAUUAUAAAACACCAUAACACAGUAUAAAAAUAAAAUUAAGCUGUGGACUCUGACCAAAGAUUAAAAAUAAGAUGCCACAGGUAUUCCCUAUUGGAUAGGUUGCCUAUAUUUUUUAACUACAAAUUGAACAAUAUAUCACUAAUCAUUCCAAUGGUGAUGAUAGCUCAUCUAUCUCAGGACUGAUAAUGAAUGAUGCUUACAGUGUGCAUCUCAUGUUGCAGAAGAAAAUGAAGAAGAAGAAUUUGUUUCUCAAGAAGAACCUUGUUAGUAGUAAUCAAAUGUUUCUGCAAUCCAACGGUGAUGCAAAACUCUUAGCACACGAAUACUGGAUAAGUAGUAUAUGUUAGCAAUUCAUUUUAGGAGAAACAAGAGGAAACUGCUAAUGGUAUACUGAUUAUUAGAUGCUUAUUAUUUUCUUUUAAAUAGAAAUUUGGAUAGUUAAGAAACCGUACCCUUGGUGCACGAGCUCCUUUCUCCUGAAAAGCAGUUGGGUUUCGUAGACAAGUCACAAUGUCAUUGAUUUCUUCUCUCAUAGAGUCAACACUUGCAAAGUCUUCUAGUCGUAUUGGUGGAUUCUUCACCCUCUGAAAAUCAACCAAAAACAAGCAAGUAAAUUAACACCUGGAUGUUAUUUAUACGACAAUGGAGAGAAAUAAAAAAAUUGUUGUCACCUGAUUUUGUUUCAAUGUAUCCUACCUUCAUCUGAUCAAAUGCAGUUCUUAUCGGAUCGAUUCCCUCCUUUUUUCUUCGAAUCCUUCUAAGUAAUUUGUAUUGAAAAUAAAAUUUCUGGUUGCACACAAAACAACUUUGUUUCAGUAUCUUGCAAGCUAAAGAAACUAUAUGGGAGGAGAUAUGAGUUUAAGGGGGAAUUAUGAUAAACUUAAAUUUGCCGGUGCAAAAUUGCAAUUUUUAAGAUUUGCAAGGAGCUAUUUUGAAUUCUCCUAGUAAAAAAGAAAAAUUGGAAAAACCCACUGCUUGCUAGCCAGAAAUAGAUAAAACCAUGAAAAGGAUAUCCAAGACUCAAUAAAUGCCUUUCUGUUACAAAUUUCCGAGUUUCAGAUUAAAGAUCUCGUAUAGCAAACUCAUACCACUCUUCGAAAUUUCCGCAAGUUCGGAUCUCUGCGCAAAGGUCCAUAUCCUAGAAGCUUUGGAAUCUUCCGCUUUAGGUAGCAGAACACAUUAAACAGAACGUACCCAUAUAUAGCACUUCUUAUUAAGAACCAAAGAUACCACCGAAUGCUAUUGGUCUUCCUAGAUCUGUAAUUCAUUUCCGCCUCAGAUUGCCAUUUUAGAUACCAUGUUGUGCCGACGAACUGAUAGGCUUCUUCAGGCCAAGCCAUCCCUAAGCUCAUUCUUACCUGAAAAUACAGGGGCGCAACGUAAAAACUGAAAGAGGCUUUUACAAAUAUAACACUGCAGAAUCUCUAUUUACAAAUGUAACCCUAUAAAAUCUGAAACUUAAAUAUACCCCACAAAAGUGCAACUUCUAGCAAAUUAAGGUUUUAAGGGAAUAUACGAAGUUAAGGUUUUGAGGUGCAUAUCUGGCAAUUCAGAUUUAGCAGUAUAUAGUAGAUAAUUUAGCAACAGUAUAAGUAUAAACAGCUCAAACUGAGGGCAAAGUACAUCAGUAAAAAUGAAAGAAAAUAGAAUUAGGUCACUUAAACGCAAAAUACAAAUAUACAAUUGUAGUUUCUACCUGCUUUGGAAUUAUAAGCUCCACAAGAGGAAAACCAACCACGACCAUGAAAUCAUCAGUGAUAUUCUUAAUCUUCAAGAAAACCCAUGCCCUCACAUACGAUACGACACCAGAGUUCCACAAUCCAAUCAAGCACUGGGAUAAAAUUCUUGUUACUAAGAGAAACUGUUGACGAAUAUCUAAUUCAGACAAAGGAAUCCACAUCAACUGAACAGCAGUUGGAAUGCCAGAUGCCAGCAUUUUAAGAUACAUGCCAUCAAAUCCACCAAAUUCUUCAAAAAGUAAGUCAAAUUCCUGCAUUGAGAUAUAAAAAGAGACAUGAAAUAUCUCGAGCAAAUAACAAUAUAGCAUGGAGAGAAAACUCGCCAUUUUGGAAAAGAGAGCCACUUAUUUUCUGAUUUUGCAAGUUUAGUCCCAGCGAUGCAAUUUUGUGAGGAUAAAGUAUGGGUGAUUUUAAAAUCACCAGGAUGUCAUUUAAAAAGCAGAUCAAAUCAAGCACUGUCAUGCCAUUUUGAAAUCACUGAUGCAUAUAUUCAUCACAAAGAGGCUACUGGCACUUCAGUCCAUUAUGGAAUAUUUCAGUCCAAAAUUACAAAAGCGAAAGAAGUGGACUCAAUAUGCAAAAUCGAACAAAGAGUUGAAUGUUUUUGCAAAAUCCCAAAAAAAAAAAAAAAGAAAGAAAAGAAAAAAGAGAGAUAACUGACUGAACCUUGAUGUCCACAUAAUAUUCUCUAUCAUCACCCUUAAGUGCAAGAUACAUGACACCCCAAUCAUGCCUAAUUCGAGCACUUUCGACUAGCUUCCUUGAAACAGCAUAAGGAACAGCAACUGGAUCCAUUUCCCAUCUAUUUCUUUCAUCAUUAAACCAUGUCUUAGUCAUCACCCUUUCUCUGUCCAAAAGGAUUCUCUCCUACAAAUAAUCAUAUGUAUAAACUGUAAAAUAUCAGAGACAAAUAUCAGACAUGAGACAAAAUAAUAGCACAAAGUACAGCUAACUUUAAAAUACUACUGCAGUAAAGUAGCAAAGUUCUUCUAGAAUAUUUGAAAUUCAUACCCAAAAGAAAAAAGGUUUCGGGGUAUUUUACUUAUGUACAUGUAUAUUAGUAUAUAUAGAUAUAUGAAACAGGGAAAUUCUGAUGAUGCGGCACCAUCACAUACCAUGCAACUAUUCUUAGUAAUUUCACAAAGUUCACUCCUUAUCUCAGCAUCCAUGCAAGAGUAAAGUUCAUGGACAAGAAAGUACCUGCCUCUGAGCCAUAUAUUCCCUACCAAGAUCUGCAUUUUCCAAUAACUCCCUUUUCAAUUUAGCUUUUGCUUCCUCCCUCCACUUCUUCCAACCAUGAAAUAAGUGUAAGGUAACAGCUUUAGGAACAACAACAUCAUUUUCCCCAAAUCUCCAUUUUAGCUCAACUUCUGGAAAUCCCUUGAGCACUUCCUCCUCUGGCGUCCUAACAACAAAGCGCUUUUCAUCCCCAAAUUUUUUCAUCUUUCGUCUAAUCUGAUUUUCCAGAUUGCUUUGCAACUUUUUGGACUCCUUGAGUGCUUCUUUUAUUUGAAGGGAAAAAUUUCGAGUGCUAGUAUCUGAAUAAAUUUCAAAGUCCUCAGCUUCCAGGACCGUUGGCAGUAGCAUUUGUUCCCAGUAUUUAUUUUGUGCUGCUUCUAGAUCUUUCUGUACAUCAUCUCUGGAGAGCCUACUUGGAAUGCUCUUUAGCACACUGCAACCAUAAAUGAUACAUGUAGAUUUCAAGGUCAAAUAGACGCUUCGAAGAGUGUACGGGGCAGAUCCUCUUACAAACUAACUAACUGAUAUUUGAAAGUAGAUGAAUAAAGCCAAUCUCCCACAAUCAAUUAUUAGUUACUCCAAUGCACAGAUAAAGACUAAGCAGAUCUUAUAGUAAAACCCGAGCUUUCGAUUAAGAUUCAUUUAACGAACAUUAGUUCGUAAAGCUUAUAUAUGCCAUAGGACAUGUUAGUAAAUGUCUUUCAUUAGGAAAAUGAAGAGAAGGAUGUAAUGCAAAGCAAAUUUACCGUAUCAGCCCAAAUGUAUAAAAAAAGAAGAGAAUAAAGAACAAAAUUAAUACUCUUGAUUUCAAAGGCAACAAGAACUCGAUUAAGGGAAACUAUUGCGAUCCAUAUGAUUUCCUAUUUUGGUGAAGGAUAUCAAUUUAUAUUAUUUACGCAAAAAAUUGAUAUAGAUGAAGACUUAUUUAUCAGUAUUUGAUAGGUCUCAUGCACACUUGUAAUGACAUUAUGCAAAAAAUCAAUAUAGCUGAUUUCCGCAGCAGCAGAAGUUCCAGGUUUUGAAGCUCAAAGUCACAUUGCAUUCACAAAGAAAAUAUAAGGCACUGUAGAAAGUGGUCAGCAAGUGAACACAUAAUUGUGCGUGUUCGCAAGUAGAAUCAUACAACUUAAUGAGUACAUAAUUCCAUUAAGAAGUUAAAGCAAUGCGUAAAAGAACUCUCAACGCAUUCUCUCAUACCUCUCGCGAUCCUUCCGUCUCAGUUGAUUGCUAAAUCUCUCCACCAAGAGCUCACUCUCCCUCUCAAUAAACGAGAGCUCCCUAAUGGCAAUACUAAAUGUCAACGUCUCCCUCCUCGAGAUCCUAUCCUCAAUCUCCCCAAUCUUCUCCCAUAACCCAUUAUACUCCUUCUCAAACUCACCCAACCUUCUCUCCAAUAUCUCCACACUCUCCCUCACCUCAUCGCCCCCACCACCACCACUCUUCAACAGCCGAUCCCUCUCCUUCCUCGCCGCGAACGCCGCCUCCAUGACCUCACUAGACUUCUUAACCAGCUCUUCCCUGUCCUUCCUCAAUUCUCUCAGCUCCGCAUUCAAAUUGCCCAAAACUUCGCCUUGGACCUCCUUCCUCCUCUCCUUCACCUCCUUCAACGCCUCCCGAACAAUGUCCAGAUCCCCUUUCGACGCCCUCACCUCCUCGAUCCUCUCGAGAAGGACGGAAACGGCAGAGAGAAGCUUUCUAGUGUAGAUUGAGAACUCAUGGUCGCUAAAGGUGUCGCCUUUAUUGGGUUUGGCGGCCUCCUCUUUCGUGGCGACUGAAGCGGGGGCGGCGAGAGCCCGGGAUUGGGCGAGGGGGGAGGGGAGGAAGCCGAUGGCGACGGAGAAGAGGAGGAGGGCGAGGGGUUUGCGGGCGAGGUCGAGGAUGGUAGUGGUGGUGAUGGUGGUGGGGGGAAUUGGCGGGGAAUGGUGUGGGGUUUGGAGGGGGGGAAUGGAUGUGGGAGGCGAGAUGGAGGCGAGAGGAGGCGGCGGCGGCGGUGGCGCGCGAGGAGGAGGAGAGGGAAGGGCGGAGGAGAGGGGAGGGAGAGAGAGAGGAGAGGAGGGGAGGGGAGAGGAGGAGAAUGGUGGGAGAGGGAUGAGGUAUGGAUUCCAUGGGAGGGAGAGAGAGAGGGUGUUGUUACAGCUCCAUUGUUGCUCCUUGUUGGUGUUGUUGUGCUUUCUUUUGGGUUGGGGAGGGAGAAGGGGGAGCAGAGUGGGUUUUAGAUAGGGCUUUUUUGCAAAAUAAUUCUUAAAAAGAAUUUAAAAUUUCAAAUUGAUAGAAGAGGGCUUUAUAUGGGACUGGCCUUUAAACCAGACCUUGAAACUGAUUGAUUUGUCAAAUUAUAUAUGUCCAAUUUACAGUUUUUGGUCAAAUUAUCAAUAUGUAUUUUUUUUAGGGGAAAAUAAAAUCAAAAUCACCAUUAGUUAGGAACCAUUUAUUUAAAAUAGAAAUAUAUAUAAAAAAAAAAGGACUAAAUAUUAUUCUGAAAUAGAAAACUACAAAUUUGAUAUUACAACAAAUGAUAAGAAUUAUUGUAUCAAUAAGUCCAGACCAAUGGAAUGUGCGCAAAGACAUAUCAGCGUGCCGUUCCGCGCCACGAUCCUCACAACAAAAAACUGUAACUAGCAUUUUUUUCAGAUUAAAUCCAUAACUCAAUUUCCAUGUUCUAAUUAUAAAUUAUCAUGAAAUGCUCCAAAGUAUUAUCAAACUUGAACACAAGAGAGUAAGAACCAACAGUUGAACAGUACACCAGCAACACACUUUGCAAAGUGAUACAGUACUUGUACAUCCAAGAGGAAACAUCAAAACAUGAACCCUUCUCUCUAACACACACACCCCCCCUAAACAGUAUCAAAACACCAAGCUUCAUCUAACAGAUGGCAUUUCAUGAUAAUUGAAUUAGAGAGAAUCUACAACCUCCCUCCAAAACACCUUUUGCCAACAAAAUAACAACAAAGUAAAAAAGAAGAGUAAAGCAUAGUAUUUUGUAUCCAAGUUAUCCGAAAACUAUAGAGCACAUUUGGGUUCAAAGUUGAACUUCUCUACCAUAAAUCCAACUAAAUGGUAUUGUGCCCUUUUGCUUCGCGCGCCCUUGAGCUCUCUCUUCCAACCUUCUAAUCCUCGGGGCCAGAGUGCACACGUAGUCUUGCGCCCUCUUCCCUUCCCCAGAAAGGCCGGUUAGGUCCGCCACCUUCCACCUAACCACAAGAAACUCGAGUAUGUCUGCGUAAUCCUUUGCAGUAUAAACUCCUAACCGCUGGGCCACUGUUGAGAAGUGUUCAAACAGAUUAUCGUCGUGUCCGUCGUACAUUAAGUGGGCUGGCAUCGAUAUCUUCUUCUUCAUCAUGUCAGCUAGGGCAAGAACGGUACCAUCUGGGUCAAUCUCAAAGAGCUUCUCAACGAUCUUGGUGUAUGCUGUUUCGUGCCGCUUUUCAUCUGAGGCGAUUAUGCCGCAUAUUUGGGCCAGUUUUAGGUCACCGUGCUCCUUGGCAAGCCGCGCAGUGUUCCCGUGGGAGAUGAAGGUGGCGCGCUCUUGGAACGAUGUAUAAAUGAAGCCGAGAUAGGGGCUGUUCUCCGUCCUAGGAUCCUGACAAAGAAGAAGAGAAAUUACAUAUGUACCCGUCAAAAAACCUGUAAGUUCGUUGAUGCCUUCUAAAAGUCGAAUCUAUUAUCAAUGCCCUCGUAUACAAGAAAUACUCAAAAAAAGUGUCCUUGUAUAUUAUCAUAAAUAAAUGCCCCUGAAAUGUGCUUUUUGUUUCAAAAAUGCCCAGUUAAGAGAAAGUGAAAUGAAAAACCAAAAUUGUAAAUUAGAAAACCAUUACCAUUCCAGAGCCAAUCAAAUAUUGUAUCGUCUUCUCAAUCUGCCUCAUAUCAACUCUGCCGGUAAGAUAUAAGUACUUAUUCAGAAGGUCUCCAUGCCUAUUCUCUUCGGCAGUCCACGCCCUUGUCCAUAUAGCCCAUGAUGUGAGGCUCGCGCCGGUCUCAUCUCUUACACCGUCGAGAGUAUUAAGCAUCGUUUGAUAAGUAGGAAGUGCCUCUUCAGUAACCAUGUCUCCCACUAAGCAAACAAAAUAAUCGUCAGGGAUUUCCUUGGCUCGCUCUCUAAGUUCUUUAACUUCCUCGUGGAAGCCAUCAGAGGAAGGAUCGGGGAGAAAAUCCUGAGGUUGCCAGCACUUUUCAACAGGUUUGAGGUGAACCAAGAUGUUAUUUUCAGCCCAGUCGUCGAGGGAUUUGAAAAUUUCGAUCUUUUGUGGUGGCAUUGAGUGGGUGACUUGGACGUGGACCUCGCGAGGACUGAAGGGAUUUUUGGCAGUCUCAAGCCUGGCACAAAAUUGUAAUAUAUAUUAGAACCUCUUACUUUUACAUACUGAAUGUCAAGAGGAUCUAAAAAAGGAUUGUUGAAUCUCUAAUUUUAUACGAGCACAUAGCUAUGUAACAAGAAAAGGAGAAGCAUUUAUGGAGUUCAGAUAGAAAUCAGAUAUUGAAGCAAAGAAAUCAACAGCAAUAUUAUACAAAUAAGGCGUAAAGUAAAACUUGAUUAGCAGGCUGAAUAAGUGACAUUCAUGAUUCCCGAAGUAAUCCUUUGGAAGUUGGAACACCUUUUUGACCAAAGAAGAAAUAAUAAGAAAACAAGCACCGAUGAACAGUUUUUAGUUUUAAGAACAGUAAAAAUAUGUCGCAAAGUAUCUAACUGUCACAAUGAAUAGUUGAGUACGGAGGGAACAAGGCAAGUGGUGAAACAUAAUAAGCCCAGUCACUGUGAUGACACAUAGGCCUCUCGUCAACUCCCAAGCGAAGAGCUGAAGUUUUUUUUUUUAGUAAAAAAAAUCCUUAAUGGAUACGGGGAAGCUCAUGACAGGCUGACAUGCCAUCAGGUUAUUUGGCAUCUAGUCAGCAUAGAGUUUGCCGGUAUUACCGAGAAGAUACCCGCCAUACAGUCUAUACCGUUUACAACAUAAAUUGCAGUUUGCUAUCCCUGCUUACAAAGCUCUAUCCCGUUUGCCUGCAUUUCUGUAAAUAUUUUUCCUCGUUGGCGACCUAGGCAACUAAGAACCGUCUAAGCAGCAGUGUGCAAGUUUGUCUCAAAUAAUAAUUGGUUCUAUACGUUCUGGAAUAUUAACAUGCACAGCCAAAGCAACUGAUGCCAAAAUAGAGAUUUGCAGUUAACAAAUCCCAAAAAAAAAAAGAAGAAAAACAAAACAAAACCGAUGUUCUGAAAUAUUAACAUGCACAGCAUGCAUGCGAACAAGCAUGCUGAAGCAAAACAUGCACUAACACUUCUGUUAACCGAUACAAGUUUCACCCGCCUCCUACUUUGGCUCCAAAAGUGUUGUUCGAGAAGGGCUGUUCGCAGAAUUGCUAACAAUUUUUUCAUCAAAAUUUUCCAGUCACUUGCCCCUUUCUUAUUGAAGCCCCUCUAACUGCUCCGCACUACCUCCCCCACAAACACAACUUUUAAAUUAGAGCUUCUAUUUUUCUAGCCAAAAAGCAUAUUAUAUUACUAUAAAAGAACAUUAAGGGCGCGUUUGGUUCGCACUAUGAAAGAUUACUAGAAAUAAAAAGAUGACCGAAAAUCUUAUUCAUAUUCAUCCUAUCACAAAGAAUGUGGCAUUACUGUGUUUGGUUCGUACGGUCAUAUUAUUUAGUCAUGUUAUUUAAGGUUACAAAAAAAUAUACAAUUUAUAUAUUUAUUUCUUUAAUUAAUUUUAUAUAAUGCUAUCAAAAAUUUUAACCUUUUUUUUUAAAAAAUGAGAGAGAACAUAGGUUAGAGAGAGAAAGCAUAAUUAAAAAAAUAGGAAGAGAAAUAGAGUCGAGAUUAGAGGGAGUGAGAGAAUUGAGAUUUGAGGAAAAAAGGGGGAGAGAGAGCUUAGUUUAGAGAGAGAAAGAGAGUUGAAGUUUAGAGAGAAAAAGAUAAACUUAGAGAGAAAUAUGAAGUUAGAGUGUAAAGAAAAAUAAUACCAACUAGCCGACGGAUAGGAAGAAAGAAAGAGAUUAGACAUAUCAUGAUUACUCCAAUCCAUUAAUAUGAGGAUACCUAUCCUUCUUCAAGGAAAUGAGAUUAGUACUUUGGGAUGAAUCUUAUUCCCAAUUAAAUCUAAUAUUACCAACUAGAUUACUUAGUGCGUUUAGCCAAACACCGUCAUAUUUUCUUAUUCCUAUUAAAUUACUAGGAAUCUUAAAAAGAUAACGCGAACCAAACGCACCCUAAAUGCAAAAUAAUCUAAACCGACGUGGAAGGUAAGAGUCCACCACCCGACAAAAAACGCACAAGUUAGUAGCAAAUAAUUACUUUAUAUUACAUUAUUACAUAUACAGAGCAGGUCAAAACCCUAAAAACCUAUUUUUUUUCACACAUCACAACAAACAGGUGGAAGCACUCAAGUGAUAAGCAUACGCGUAAUUGAGAUGAAAUGGACACGCAUGCAAUUAAUUAGCCGCACGAAUUGAAUUGAAAAGGAGAAACCAAUUUGACCCACAACUUUGACAAUUCCUCAAUAAGAACAAAUAUUUAUUUUUAGGAAAAAACAACUAAUUAAUCCAUCGAAACAGUAUUAACCAAAUCAAGAUUAAACACUUAAAAAAAAAUAGAGUUCGAAAAAACGUACCAAAAAUAUAAGUAUAUUUAACAUUUUAUUUUAAAAAUAAACCUGUUAAAUUUUUAUUUAUAAAUAUAGUCUUAUAAAAGCAGUGAAUGAUUUACCGCUUUUAAAAGCGGUGAACAAUUCACCGUUUUUUUUCUUUUUCUCACUUUUUUUUAUAAUUCUACGAUGGUAAACGCGGUGAACCAUUCACCGCUUUUAUUAUUUUUCUACACUUAAACAGAAGUUAUGAAUGCGGUGAAUCAUUCACCGCAUUUAGAGGUUUAUUUUUAUAAUUAUUUUUUUAAGAAAACUAUUUUUACAAUUACAAAAAUAGAUAGGAUUAGUUAUAAAAAAAAUUCAAUGGAAGAGGUGUUAACUAAAUUGCUUAAUUUAAGAGGAUAUCAGCUUCUCAGUACAUUUCCCACCCCAAGGAUUUAAUAUCGUAGCACGGAAUCAUGCCGAAAAUUUGUCAAUACGGUGUGCGUCUGACCGUGCCAAUACAUACCAUAUGCUUACACAUAAUCGAAUAAAAUAUUUAUUUUAAAAAAAAUAAAUUAUGUCAAUUAUUUAUUAUGUAUUUUUAUUAAAUUUUUUAAAUUUUAUUAAAAAAAUUAUUUAUUAAUUUUAAGAACAGAAAAUUUUGAACUAUGUCAUUAAUACGGAGAUUAUAUCGUAUCUUACUGCGACGAUUCGACACGGUGGAUACGGUGAAUCCUUACCCCCUCCCCCCUCGGAAAAAAAAAACCCAAAUCAACAAAUUCAAACAAAAUUAACCCAAAAAACCACCAAAUCGACGAAACCCAACGAAAUUUGUACCAAAAAGCCCAAACAACUUAGAUCGAGAAACGAAACGAAACCAAACCAAACCAAAUACCAAUGCGUGCGUCGGGGGGAGAAGUAAGAGAUGGGGUAGGGAAGGGGCAAAGGGAUCUAAUUACUUGGUGGAGGCCAUGGAGGCUCUGGGGGAUCCGAAGGUGGCGGCGGCGGCGGCGGCGCUCCUGUUGGUACGCGGCGGCGCGAAGCAGAGGGAGCCCAGGGGCUUGAAUGCGAUCCUCGACGCCAUUAAUGGUGGCGGUGGUGAUGGAUUCGGUGAUAAUCCUCUUCUUCCCUGUGGUUCCUUCUUCUUCCUCCUCUUCUAUGGCGAAGAGAGAGAGAGAGAGAGAGAGAGAGAGAGCUCCUGAGAAGAGGCGGAAUCGAAUAAGAGCCACAAACGGGGGGGAGGAGGGGAAGGGGAAAAGACCAGCCACCGCUGCUCUUGUGUGUGAAAUUACUCAUUUGCCCCUCUUCUGAUUUUUCUUCUUCUUUUUAAUUUUUGUUUUAUUUGGCUUUUAUUUGGACGCAUUAGAAGAAAAUUUUUUAAUAGAAAAAAUUCCAAAUAUCACUCUCUCCAGUUUUUAUACUUUCUCACUUUAGUAUCUUAUAAUUUAAAAUAAAUUAAUUUAGUGCCAUACAGUUUUAUUUUUAUCUUUUUCUUAUCGAUUUUACUAAUUAUUUUUAUUAAAUUAAUGACAAAAUUAAAACUAAAGGGUGCUAAAAUGAAUAUUCGAUAAAUCUAGAUGGAGUAUCUGAAGUUUUUUGUAUGUAAUUUAACAAAAUAUUAAUGAAAAAACUAACGAAAGGAUAAAAAUAAAACCACAUGACACUAAUUUGAUGCACUUUAAAGUUUAAACCGCAAAAUACUAAAGUGGAAAAAUACGAAACAACGGGGAUGGUAUUUGAAGUUUAUCCGAGAAAAUAAUAAUGUGCAUAAAUAUAUAUAUACCAUUCAAAAUGGAUACCAUAAAACUAAAAUAAAAUUGUCUUAUAAAUAAAAAAAUAUAUUAUUUAACUAAUUAUAAAUGAUACGAGUUGCUAAAAAGUAAAAAAAUUAAACUUUUAAACUUGUAAUCUCAAAGAAGAAUAUCUAUAGAUAUUUGAUUUUGGCAUCCAAAUAAGUCAUUAGUAUCUCAUUUUAUUUUUAUUCAAAUUUAAUUUAUUUUGAAUUUUUUGUCCCUUUUUUGCAAUCUAUUUGGUAUAAGAAGCAGCCAAAUGUUACUGGGCUAAAGCAAUUUGAAGUUGAAGAUCCCAACAUUCUUUUAAGAUCCAUUUGGUUUUGAAUCUCGCUAACGCUAAUAAUAGAUCCAAAAGAAGGCCAAUUUGCAUAAAAAAUCCACUUAUUUUGGGCUUUUGCAAAAUCGGGCCAUUUUUUUGAUUUUUGCAGAUUCGGUCCGCUUUUUCAGCAAACUGAUCAAAAUACCCUUAUACUUUUUUCUCUUUCCUCUUUCUCUCUCCUCUUUUUUUUCUCUCGUUCUUUUUUCUUUUUCUUCCCAGAGAGCGGCUAAGACGGAGCGGAGGUGCCCUUAUACCUUUUCUUUUCUCUUUUUUCUCUCGUUCUUUUUUUUCUUUCUCUUCCCAGAGAGCGGCAAAGACAGAGCGGCGUCGCCGCCGGCGCCCCCACCUUCCUUACCUCCGAUCCCCCCAAGGCCGGGCUGUGACUUUUUUUUUUUUUUGCAUUUUUCUUUUCUUUUCUUCUCUGACUCUCCUCCACAGUUUCCGACGACGGCGCCUUUCUCGCUCUUCCCUGCCCUUCUCAUCUCUCAUUCUCCCUCCUUCUCUGCCGCCUCCGACGACGAUGCAUCUUCGCCGACACCGUGGAGAUCACUGCGGCGCUGCAGCCUCGGAGUAGGGGGUCUUUAACGGCGUCGUCACUGACACCGUGGCUAUUGACAGAGAGGGUGAUAAAGAAAAAAAAAACAGAAAAAAAAUAAAGAUAAAAAAAUAUAUAAAAAAAGGAUGAAGAUGAAAUUGUAUCGUUAACUACAAAAAAAAUUACAAGUUGCACUACUUAAGAUGAAAACUGUAGCUUUAAGAUGAAAAUUACACUCUUUAAACGAAAAUUACACUAUUUGAAAGAUAUUUACACUGUUUCUCUUCUUAUUGCACUCUUUCAGAUAUAAACUGCACUAACUAAGAUAAAAAUUACACUCUUUAAAUGAAAGUUGUACUGUUUCUUCUCUUGUUGCACCGUUUCUCCUCUUGUUGCAUCAUUUCUCCUCUUGUUACACUGUUUUUUAUUUUAAACUACGCAUGUUUAACAGAUAUUUAUACUGCUUCUCUUCUUGUUGCACUGUUUCUCCUCUUGUUGCACUGUUUCUCCUCUUUAUCUUAAACUGCACCCAUUUAUCUUAAACUGCACCCAUUUAAGAGAUAUUUAUGCUGCUUCUCCUCUUGUUGCACUGUUUCUCCUCUUUAACAAGAGGAGAAACAGUGCAACAAGAGGAGAAGCAGUAUAAAUAUCUGUUAAAGAUGUGCAGUUUAAAAUAAAAAACAGUCCGACCCCGUUCGCCGCGGCCGCUGCCGCUGCGGCGACGGGAUCGGGCUGGGGGUCCGCGGCGGACGCGGCGUCUCGACGUCGUCGUGGGAGAAGCAGAGGCGCUGGUCGGCGGCUUCUGCGCGGCGGCGGGAGGAGGGGCAGCGCCGACGGAGAAGAACACGCGCGGCGCUGGUGCCGGCGCCGGUUGCGCUUCCGCCUCCCCCUCCUGCGCCCUGCCGCUCGGCCUCCCCUUCUUCUUCUUCGCCGUUGUCUUCUUCUCCGCAUCCAGCCCGACCCCGUUCGCCGCGGCCGCUGCCGUCGCAGCGACGGGAUCGGGCUGGGGGUCCGCGGCGGCGGAGGAGAGGAGGAGGGGGUCGCGGGCGGUGGAGAGGAGGGUGAGGAGGGAGGCGACGGUGAAGAAGGAUGGUGAGGAGGGAGGCGACGGUGAAGAAGAAGGCGACGGUCCGCCUUUUUUUUUUGGCGAGAAAAAAAAAAAAAAACGACAGAAACGAAGAGGAGAGAGAAAGAGGAAAGAGAAAAAGUAAUAAGGGUAUUUUGGUCAGUUUGCUGAAAAAGCAGACCAAAUCUGCAAAAACGAAAAAGAUGACCCGGUUUUGCAAAAGCCCAAAAUAAGUGGAUUUUUUAUGCAAAAAGGCC